AUGUAUUUCUGAAAGUGUACCUUUAUGAUAGUUUUAGUUUGUUGUGUGCGGCUGUUACUAGGAAACAAAGCUCUGAUCCUGGUUCUAACAAACUUAACUAAACUCUUUGCACAAACAAUAAAUAGAUACAUUGUGUAUUAAGAUGUUCCACUCCUUCUACUGAUAUUUUGUUUAAUUAUUUUUCUUAAAGGAUAAAUUAAUUUGGUUUUAAAGUUAAUUGUUAUUGUGUAAGUAAAUUGGUGUCUCGUAGCAUUCUUCAGGUAGUUGAUUAAUUAUGUUAUCUGAAUCUUUGCAGCUAUUGCAAAUAGCUGAUGGUUGUGGUCCUCUAGGCUGGCUAUCUCUGGCUGCGGAAUCGGCAAACAAAGGACUCGUUGUUGGUCUGAUUGGCCCUCAUCUUCCAUUCACAAACAAUUAUUAUGUAUGGGAAGACAAAUUCCAAGUAGCACAUUUUCGUGGAUGUGAAAUGCAACAGCAUGUUUGGAUAGAUGACCGAAAAGGAUCUUCUUGAAAAACUAAAAUAUUUGUGUAACACUAUAUGCUCCUCUCUUAGCUUCUGUUGGAAUUACAUGAUCUGUUAUUCUCGUUCCUUCUCAAUACGAGGAAAACUGAAAAAGUACUUUGCAUGAGUGUAAAAAUAAAUAAUUUUCAAUUUAUCAACACUGAAUGAGACAUUUGAAUGUGUUCAAUUGGCUAUGAUGACUGGCCUGGGAAAUGACAAAUUUAUAUUUGGGAAAGCUUGACAAAGUAUAACUUCUGCAAUAUAUGUACCUGAUGUAGAUCUUACGAGUAUUGAGUAUCGAUCAGCUUCUCGAAACAGUAUGUCCUUGUCAGAAUCCCAUCUUCUCCUUUUAGAUGGGUUAAUAUUAAUAUAAGAUAUUAUAUUUGAAUUUGUUCCUUUCUAUCAUGAUGUAAUUCUACGUGUAGGUACGUCGAUACCAAGAAGAUGAAUAUCCUUUUCUAUAAAACAUGUCCCUUGGAUUGAUUUGGGUUCGUUACUAAACUUUGUACUGCUUCCUCAUCUGACUAUCACCUCUGAUAAAUCUCCUUUUGAUUCAGUUAUGUAUUAUUGUUUGUUUCCAAGUAUUUAUCACUCUGGUUUUUGAUAAAUGUAGUGGGUGUUGGCAGUUGCAAUACAGAGCAGGUCGAAUGGUGUAAGGUGAUGUUGCUGUGGGACAUUGCAACUGCUCCCAGAUCAAUUCAAACUCCAUUUGAAUGUUUUAGUUCAUCAAUGCUUUUGAUUAUAUUAUUUUAUAGAAUAAUGGGGUUACUCUUAUUAUUGAGGGCCUUGCGAAGAGUAUUUUCAAUUGUAUUCAUUGCUUCAGGUACCUGUUAAUAUGUCUUAUGAGUAUUCACCUACAACUUGAUAUCCUAAGAGGAGAUUUGUACCUGUUUGCUCAAGUAUUUUCACUAUGGAACUGAGUGGCAGUUCUUGGUGAUUUUACAAUUUGAGCAUUCAGUUUGAAGCCCCUUUAAAUUUUCAAUGGUUGUGUUUUUAUAGUUUUGGUGUAUCACUUCAUGUCACAAUUGAAUACGAAAUUCAUUACUUCAUGAUAUGGGUGGCCUCUCUCCCUCUAUCUGAUUCUAUAUCAUGCCUUCCAAUGUUUUGUGUUCUAGAUGCCCUAAUCUUCUUGUAUUUGAAUGUCAUUUAUUUAGCUCUUUCAAAAUUUCUAUUUCAACUUCUUACUUAAAUGUCAUGUCCAUGUAUUAUCAAAAAUAAAAAAAUAAAAAAAUUGGAAUGGGCGGCUGCCAACCCGUCACCGCCCAGCUUCCUUUGAGGAGGCGCCACAAGGUGGCGCCCCAACCUAGAGGCGGGAUUAUGCUGUCACUCUUAUGUUUAUACUAUUAGACUAGUAUCUAUAUUUUUAAUGUUUAUACUUUCUUCUUGAUCUCAUGCAAAUAUGGUAUGCAAUAGUACCAGAACUUGUAUCCAAAAGCAUAACCCAAAGAAUAAAAAAGACAGUUGAAGGGCGCAUCCCACCUGGCACCGCCCCAACUCCCUCUCAGGUGGCGCACCCAGGGUGCGCCCCAACCACUAGUUUUCUACAACUCUGCGCUGCUGUGAAGGCACUUAAUUUUUUAUUUCAUUUUUGCAAGUGAUGAACGCACUUUUAUUUUAAAGUACUCUACUAAUCCAAAAAAUAUUGAGGGGUGCCUACUUAUAAGUACUAAUCUAUUGUGUGGAAUAAAUUUUUCUUCCCACUCAUGGGAGAGGGAGAAAAAAGAGGCAUGAGGUUUAGAGACCUUCACAGCUUUAAUCUUGCUAUGUUAGCAAAGCAGUGUUGGCGACUACUCCAAAAUCCUGACUCUUUGUGUACACGAGUUUUGAGGGUAAAAUAUUAUCCCAAUGGAGAUAUUAUGAAAUCUAGCCCCAAGAAAGGCUCUUCGUUCACUUGGCAUAGUUUGUAGCUGGUAUUCAAACUUUGAGAAGGGGAUGCAUAUGGCUUGUGGGUUCUGGCUCAACAUCAACGUUUGGGAUGACCCAUGGAUACCCACUAGUAUGAACAAGAAGCUUAUUGCCACUAGGGAGGGUAUUAUGCUAACAUAAGUGGAAGAGAUAAUUAACCUCCAUACAUGACAAUGGGAUGAGACACUUAUUCGCAACGUCUUUUCAUCAGUCGAUGUGCAUAGAAUUCUACAAAUUCCUCUUCAUGUGGAGGCCGUUGAAGAUUUUGUAGCUUGGCAACAUACAAGGUCGGGUAGCUUUUCUGUGCGUUAGGCAUACCAUGUUGAAUUUGAGCAUCAGUUCAGACAACACUUGAAUCGAACUAGCCCAAGUAGUGCCUCAUUGAAUGGAUCUUGGAAAGAUCUUUGGAAACUUCGGUUACGUGGGAGGAUCAAACACUUUGGCUGAAAAGUGCUGAAGGGGGUUCUAUCAUGCUAUGGUGUCCUUGCUAAUAGACAUAUUCCUCUGAUCCUGCAAUGUCUGAUCUGUUCCAUAGGAUUAGAAGAUAUAGAAUAUUGCUUGUUCACUUGUACCAGGGUGCAUGCAAUUUGGAUGGAGCUAGGGCUAUCACACGAGAUUGAACGUGUGGUUUGCCAGGACCGAUCGGGCUCUAUUAACCUUGUCAGCGUGAGGUUGAGAUACUUGGCUAGAAAAACUACCAUAAAACCAUAGUUGUAGGUGAGUGGUAUAUCUGGCGGGGGAGAAGAAACAAGGUGCAUGGGGAUGGGAACAAGCAGCUGAAUUUAUUGCCCCGAUUAAUAGUGUGUGCUAAUAGAAAAUAUACACUGCAACGACUUCCCCUAAAGUUUGGUCUCUCGCUCGCAAAGAUAAUAAGAAGGUCAUCACAACCAUGAAGGAGGGUGGCUGGUCCAGGGAUGCGGCUGCUACGAUAUUUGAUGACUGUUGCAUACUCUCUCCGUCCCAAAAUAAGUGUCUUAACUUUGUACUAACUCUAAUACAAAAUUGUAUUAAGCUUGAGACACUUAUUUUAAGACGGGGACAGUAUAAUUUUAUGCAAUUCAUCACUUUGGGGCAGUGCUUUAGAGAAGCUAAUUCAGUAGCUCAUGAAAUGGCUAGGAUUGCUAGAAUCUCUCCGUGUAAAUGAGUGGUUAGAAGAGGCUCCAAGUGAGUUAAUUUCCCUCUUGCUAGCUGAUGUAACCUUGACAAUGAAUAGAGGAGGUGUCCAAUUGUCAAGAAAUAAAAGAGUGUGUCACUGUGGAUGGCAGAACAUCGGGGGGGNNNNNNNNNNNNNNNNNNNNNNNNNNNNNNNNNNNNNNNNNNNNNNNNNNNNNNNNNNNNNNNNNNNNNNNNNNNNNNNNNNNNNNNNNNNNNNNNNNNNGGUGGAGUCGGAGGAGGACGCGGGGCGGAGGAGGGGAAGGAGAUCCAGCAGCAGCAGAGGCGGGAGAAAGAGAAACAGGAGGAGGCACGGGCGCCCAUGAAAUUCGGCCGUGUCGGUCGGUCGCCGCGCGCGUAGAUCGGAGGACCGGACUGGAGACUGGAGUGGGGGUGGAACUCCGCCAAAUGUGGUGAGGAAUCCUAUCCAACACUCGCUCGCUGGGUGCUCAACCCAAGUCUUCUUUUUUCUCUCUCUUUCGAAAGCCGGCGAAUGCAUCUUCCCAUUGCUUUUAUAGGAAAGAAUUACUCCCUUUGUCUCAACUUUAUACCACCUAUAAUACAAAGUUAUACUCCCUCCGUCCCAAAAUAACCGUGUCAACUUUAUACUAGCUUUAGUACAAAAUUGUACUAAGCUUGAGACACUUAUUUUGAGACAAAGGGGGUAUUAAGUUUAAGACACUUAUUUUGAAACGGGGAGAAUAUGAUUUAUUCAUCGUCUGAUCGUAUCAUGGCAAUACAGAAAACACAAGGAAAAAAAAACAAUUGCAUCUAAAUCGGUAAACCAUCUAGCGACGACUACAGGCACUUGAGUGAAUCAAAUAUGUGUCCUCAUCAUCCUCCCUCUCUCAUUGAAGCGAGACAACACUUACCGUAGUAGACAGUACGAAAUCAUCGUGUUACCAACACACCAGAACAUCAACUGUCGUGAAGAGAACAUGGAUUAGAAUGAGGCAACAUAUAGGCACACGAACAAAGGUUGGAUCCAUGAAGAUCAAUCGAACAUCAACACCGUCCGAACUCCAUGAGAUCCAUGAAAGACACGCCUCCACAUGCUAUUUGAAGGCGCUAGAUGCAUCGCUGGAAUGACGCUACACGGAGAGGGCCUUAUUCCAUUAUCAAGGGGUCAUCGCCGCCUCGCGCUACCUUAAUAGGACACAAACCCUAUUUGAUGAAAAAAAAAACCUAAAACAAAAACACUCUUGCAGGCAAGGGUCUAUCGUGGCUCCAUGGCCCUAAGGCUAACAAAGAUGAGGUGAACCGGUGGUGACGGAGGCAGAGAACCCCUAAUUACAUGUGUCAUAUGCAAUUGCCAUGAACUGUAAAAUCUAAAAAUAAUAAUAAUAACAGUUGAAAAUGACUUUUUUUUCAACAAACAUUGCUUAGUGUUUUAUAUAUGUGUAAAUUUUGGAGUUUUUUUUUUUUUUGGAAUUCAUACUUUUCGUGCAUACGUGCUCAGGGAACCAAAAUCCAUUAUCUUUGGAAAUAAAGACCAUGUAACUGGACCAACCCCCCUAUCAUUCUUCUUUUAGGUACCAUUCAUUCCUAGACAGGACCAGUGUUUGAUGACCUAACCGUUUUUUCAAGCAGACCAACUGCCAUUUAAUGUUUGGUUUUAAAUUCUUCUACGAUCUCGCAUACGUUCUGGUUGAACAAGAAAUGUUUGAAAAUAGCAAAAAAAUGAUGUUUUUUCUCUGUAAAAUGUUCGAAUGUUCUAAUUGCAUGCAAAAAAAUCCAUUAAAAAAACAACACUCAUGUUGCUCUAAAUAAAGAAACAAAAUCAGUACUUGCAAAAGGUUCAGGAAACAAAACGUGUUCAAGAUGCUCUGAACUUGCAGAAGGGUACCUGGGGCUCGAAUUUUGUGAUUAGGGCAUGUUUGGUUCGUAUCCCAUUGCUAAAUUCUGUCCCAAAGUGUUCAAGUCUAGCCAUGAACCAAGCAUGCCCAUAGUGUUCCCCCAAAUGCAUGAAUGACAACCACUUUUGGUUCCAAUGUAUGUCAAGCUAAUCAAUCCCCAAAAUGCCACCAAAUGUCCCGUUGUGAGAAUGGCUAAUCCGGCCUGGUCACACUCGUGGCAUUUUCGCAGUAGAUCAAUAAUGUCAAUUCAAUUCAUCAGAAAUCAAAGCAACUAGUCAUGAUCAACAAGCCAAAUAAACAUUAUAAUAAAUACAAGGAAAAAUCUCAAGACAAAUACCCAAGAGAAAGAAUCCCAAGGAUAUGUAUCUGCGGCAAUCCAAUGAGAACAAAGCAUUACCCAGCAUAGAGUGGAUACAACAGUCUUGCUACACGAUAUAUAAUUCGUAACAAAGUAGCAAUUUCGUUUAUGUACAGAUCACACAAGAACACCACACAGUUGGAAACUAUAUCAUAUAUUCAUAUCAGGCGGUUCAUGUGAGUGCUCUAAGCAGGCACGGCAAAGCUUGGCUCGGUCCAGCUGGUUGGGUCGACAACAAUGCACGGAUCGUCCUUCUUGAACUCAGCCACCUGCAGAGUUCAUCAUAUGAAAAAAAAAAGGAUUACACAUAGAAGCAGAAGCUCAAGAAAGCAAGAUGCAUGACAGGGAUAUGAUGCCAAACCAUUUCUCCGCAGCUGGGGCAGUAGUGCUGUUUGUGCCAGAGGCAGUCCAUUGAAGGGCAUAGGAAGCACACGCCCAGAAAGAAUGGCAUCAUGCAAGCCACAACUGAUGCGACGCUCGGCUUUGACCUGUUCAAUGUGCAACGAAAAAGGCUUAGCACGAAUGGUUUCAAUUACAUUUCACCAUCACGGCAAGUACUACAAGGAAUAUUGCGUUCACGUCUCCCUCGCCUAUCUAUUCCCACUUCUGCACGCAAAACUACAGGAGUGCUAAUUAGCAAUCAAAUAUACAAGUAGGAUAGACAAGCACAAACUGAAUGAUAACAAAAAUAUUGUUUAUCCACAAAGAUAAUGAAAGUAGCCCCCCGCUCUUUUCAUGCCUAUAUACUGUAGUUGAGGUAGCAGUGGCUGACAUCAAGCAAUGUGUGGACAGAAAUACAAGAUACUGCCAGAAAAUUGUAUUAAGAUAGAUUUCUCAACACAGGAUAAUGCUCAUUUAAGUUAGCCAGUCAACCAAAAUCCCUAGAGAACGCACUAAUGACAUCCCCAAAAGGUGUUACAGCAUUGAGAUAAAUGACACUAGGAAAUGCGAACAGAAUAAUCAGAUGCUAUCAAGCUACAGGUAAUAUAUUACUUGGAAGGUCUUUGCAUAACAGAGAAAUGCUAGAUUCAGGUUCAGUUUGCUAAUUAAUAAAAAUGUCUUUCCAACAUAUCUGCUACUAGCAUUCUUAAAAAAUACCAAACCCUGAAGAAUACAAGACAACAAAUAAUAUAAAUACAUACAUUAGAUGUCAUGGUAUAUGUCUUGAGGCUAAUGUUAUUUCAGAGAAUCAUUGGUCUCACCAAGCAGGGUUCAACAUCAAUUCAAAGUCAAAGCUGAACUUCGGAUCACCUUUGGAUAAAGCUCAUAUAGUCUCGAGCUAUGAGCUUGGUUUGAAGGGCUAAAUAAUAGUUACAAAAUAAAAUACCACGCAUUAAAUUUUAAACUUCAGUAAUAAUGAUGGUGUGCCCAGCUAGAAUUAGAAAUCAGAACCUACAAGUUAAGAGAUUUUGCUUGCUGCUUGGUUCCAUUUCGGAUGUUCUGUUUGGAAUUGUACAAGAAGUGUGAUCAGGCAUGAACUAUACAGAGUUCAAACUAUAUUUAGCAUAGUCAUUGAUUGUAUUUGCAGCUAUGUCACAAAAAAUGGAAAAAUCAUGAUGGCCGAGUGUGAGAAUGUCAUACGACUCUCCCCCCUCCCACAACCCCUCUCAAAUUGUACAGUGAGGCAACCACAAUGUCAUGUAUCUCUCACAAUAUCAGUAGCUACCAUCUCUUAUCCCGUUACCCACUAAAACUGAAUAUAACUAUAAUGUUUCUAUGUUAGACUAGAGUCAGGUCUUUUGACUUUUAGCAUUCAGGAAUCAUUCAUACAUUCUAGUGAUAAAAGGAGCAAAAGAUGGCAUAGAAGGCUGAUGAUUGCAGGGCACCCUUGCCAAGGGAAUUUUUUAUGGUUGUAAGGAUAUCUUCAGUAGAGGGAAGAUCCAUCUUGAGUGCCCCGGUGGGCCUUUUAAGGUUAGCGGAAUAUCAGUAGGUACUUUAGGAGGAUACCCUAGAAGGUGGACUCGGGUGAACCACCAUGUGCCAUUCCAUUUUAUCCAUAGAAGGAAAAUCACUUCAAUCCUUCACACCAAAGCCAUCAGGCAACUCCCAGAAUACAAACACUAGCUAAAUAGCCGUGCCCUGCUAGGGAAUAAUAAAUACAUGGUGCAUGGAGACGCGUAAAUGUCUUGUUUUCUUUGUCUUCAUUUGCAAAUUUUAUCUGUCUCAUUUGGUAUCUCGGAUUGGUAGGGACGCGAAAAAGGCAACAUUUUAUACCAUAUUGCAACAUCAACCAGGACAUCAAUGUAGAAUAUUGAAAAAGAACUCAGGGGCUCUAAGAUGCUGGGGCAAAGAAGUAGCAGAGCUACCUAAUGUUACCUAGCAUUAGAAAAAACAGAUUAAGGAAGUAAGAUCUUCACACAUAUUGUUCGCCAAAUUAAAAGGGCGAAUCAACCUAAGCUAAAUACCACUCAAAUGGAAGUCAGGAUCAUAACAGUACAAAGAAUGCUACCAGAAUGAAACUCCACUUUAAUAGUUAAGAUAUCCUCUAACUCAGCAUCACAAUAAGCGUCAAUCCUGAUGAGUCUCCCACUAAUAAACUUUGAAGUCAGGAUCAUAACAGUACAAAGAAUCCUGAUGAGUCAAUUCCUCUUUCCAACCGAGGCAGCCCCAUACGUCAAGAUAAACAAGGACUCUGCUUAUAAACACAACAGCAUGAAAAGCACCUCAAGGAUCAAGAUCCCCCAUUGGCAAUCCAGAUAUCACAGAAACUAUCUCUAUGUCGCACAAGACUUCGAGAUAACCAUCAUCUCUAUCUUCCACGCUAAUUUAUCACUAGACCAUCACUAAUCUAUACUGUUUCACUCGAAUCAAGCUAGACAUCCGAACGCGCCAAGGAAGAGGGACAGCUAAAACAAAAUUCGGUCAGCAUUGAAGGGUUCGAUCAAUCCACAAAUCACUAUAAUCUCAUCCUCGAAGCGCACCUAAACCUCAUAGAGAUGGCAUACUACUGCAAUUAAACGGCGCAAUAUACCACGGGGGGACGGGGAAAAAAAGAGGGGUGGAAGGGGAAGGAGGGGGGGAUUAGGGGUUGGUUGGUUCCUGACCGGACGGAGGUGACGGCGGCGUCGCCGCAGGACUGGCAGUGGAAGGGGGCGGGCGUGUCGCGGAACAUGGUGUGCUGCAGGGGCACCCCCUUGGGCGCGCCGGCGUAGAUCGCGUUCGGCGGCACCCUCCCCGCCGCGUAGGGGUCCGGCGGGUAGUAGUAGCUGCCCUGGGCCUGCGCCGGGUUGUAAGGGAUGCCGAGGGCCGGCUCCUCGCCUGAGGCCUUGGCCGUCGCCAUGGUCGUCGCCGGCNNNNNNNNNNNNNNNNNNNNNNNNNNNNNNNNNNNNNNNNNNNNNNNNNNNNNNNNNNNNNNNNNNNNNNNNNNNNNNNNNNNNNNNNNNNNNNNNNNNNUUUCCUUAUAUUUUCAUGUGUGAUCAUUUGUAGUAUAAGUUAUUAUACUUGCUACUAUUGUCACUACUGCUAUUCCUUGCCACUGUUGUUACUCGUUACACUGUUGCUGCCUGCUACAAUACUUUUUCUCGCACUGUUGCCGGGAAAGAAUAUUUCCCGUCCACGGCAAGUUCUAGCGCCAUUGAUACGACAGUUAGGAAUAGUCUGCCUUGUCACCAGAUCGUUUCUGGCACCGUUGCUAUCAUACUACUUUGCUGCUGAUACUUUGCUUGCAGACACUAAUCUUUCAGGUGUGGUUGAAUCUGACACAUUCAGCUGCUAAUACUUGAGAAUAUUCUUUCACUUCCCGUCGCGUGAACCAACAAAUUUGGGUUGAAUACUCUACCCUCGAAAACUGUCGCAAUCCCACGCGUUGGUGGGCUAUUGCAAGACAAUUUCUAAUUGUUGAGCAAUUGGGACGAGCUCUUUUCUGGCUCCGUUGCCGUGGAGGCAUCAAGUCAGCAAUAGUUGCACGUCAGCAGCAUUUUUCUGGCGCCGUUGACGGGGAUCUGCUAACAACAUUUUUGUGGCACCAUUGCCGGGGAAGGGAUUGCUAUAUUGUCUGAGUCACUUGGGAUUUAUAUCUGCUGAUCACUAUGAAGAAUCUGAAAGAUCCAAAAACCAAAGUCUUGCCCUCAACUAUGAGGGGAGGUAAGGAACUGCCAUCUAGCUGUGCAUUUGAUUCACCUUCAGUUAUGAGUAAGUUUGCGACACCACCUCCUGCUAGAAAUCUUGAUAUGUUGCUUGUGCUUGAUGAUGCUUAUGAUGCUACUAUGCCUGCUAUUGCUAGAGAUACUAUGCCUGAUACUGCUAGAGAUACUAUGCCUGAUACUGCUAGAGAUGUUAUGCUUGAUACUGCUAUGGAUACUACUUUGCCUGAUAUGCCACUAGGGGUAUUCCUUGAUGCUCAUAUUGCUAGAGUUACUGCCAAUGCUCAUGAUGCUUCCGAAACUGCCGAUACUAUUGAGAUAGAACCUGCUUUUGCUCCUGCUAGAUCUAGCUCUCCUAGAUAUGAAUUGCCUGAUAUACCUGAGGGUUACGUUAUGGAGGGAGAGAUAGCUGAGGAUUUUCUUGCAUGUAAGGAUGCCUAUAACGCUGAGAAAUUACUUCUCAAGUGGAAGGAAAAAUCUCUGAAAGCCAGAAUAAAAUACGGCCCGAAGUUUGCCACUUCACCUAUCUUUAUCACCGAUAAGGAUUAUGANNNNNNNNNNCAGGGUUACGUUAUGGAGGGAGAAAUAGAUGAGGAUUUUCUUGCGUGUAAGGAUGCCUAUGACGCUGAGAAAUUACUUCUCAAGUGGAAGGAAAAAUCUCUGAAAGCUAGGAUGAAAUACGACCCGAAGUUUGCCACUUCACCUAUCUUUAUCACCGAUAAGGAUUAUGAAUUCUCUGUCGACCCUGAGAUAAUCUCUCUAGUCGAAUCUAAUCCUUUCCACGGUUAUGAGUCUGAGACGGUCGUGGCCCAUCUUACCAAACUACACGAUAUAGCCACCCUUUUCACUAGUGAGGAGAAGAUUCGCUACUACUAUAUCCUUAAGAUGUUUCCUUUCUCUCUAAAGGAUGACGCUAAAGCCUGGUUCACUUCUCUUGCUCCUGGAUGUGUGAGUAGUCCCCAGGAUAUGGUCUAUUACUUCUGUGAGAAAUAUUUCCCUGCCCACAAGAAUAAGCCGCCUUGCAGGAAAUAUACAACUUUGCUCAACUCAAAGAAGAGAGUCUCNNNNNNNNNNACCCGGGAUAUGGUAUAUUACUUCUGUGAGAAAUAUUUCCCUGCCCAUAAGAAGCAAGCUGCCUUGCAGGAAAUAUACAACUUUGCUCAACUCAAAGAAGAGAGUCUUCCACAAGCUUGGGGGAGGCUCAUCCAGCUACAGGAUGCUUUGCCUGAUCACCCUCUUAAGAAGAACGAGAUACUUGAUAUCUUCUAUAACGGACUUACCGAUGCUUCUAGAGACCACCUAGAUAGUUGUGUCGGUUAUGUUUUUAGGAAAAGAACUGUAGAACAAGCUGAGAUCCUACUGAAUAACAUCUUGAUCAACGAUAAUGCUUGGACUAUUCCUGAACCACCUCCUAAGCCAACUCCUAACAAAAGAGGUAUUCUACUCCUCAGUCCUGAAGAUAUGCAAGAAGCCAAGAAAUCUAUGCAAGAGAAAGGCAUUAGAUCUGAAGAUGUCAAAAAUCUACCACCUAUCGAAGAGAUCCAUGGUCUUGAUAACCCGAUACAAGUAGUAGAAGUGAAUUCUCUGCGUAGGCUUGAUGAGAGUGAUAUUCCUUUUGACAAACCUGCUAGCCUAUGCUUUGAUGAAUUUGACAACUUUUUUGCCAAACAACAGAGUUUCAAUGAUUAUGUUAGCAGACAUUUGGAACAAAGUACUCGUANNNNNNNNNNAUACCAACUAUCGAAGAGAUUCAUGGUCUCGAUAACCCAAUACAAGUAGUAGAAGUAAAUUCUCUGCAUAGGUUUGAUGAGAGUGGUAUUCCUUUUGAUAAACCUGCUAGCCUAUGCUUUGAUGAAUUUGACAACUUUGUUGCCAAACAAUAGAGUUUCAAUGAUUAUGUUAGCAGACAUUUGGAACAAAGUACUCGUAUGUUUAGUCAUUUAAGGGCUUGUGUAGACAGAAAUGUCAAUGAUCUGAAGCUUCUGAGUAAACAUGCCUCUAUGAUUACUACUCAGGUAGAACAAGUACUUAGAGCUCAGAAUGACUUGCUCAAUGAAUUAAAUGACAACUCUGUCAGAGUCAUUACUAGAGGAGGCAAAAUGACUCAGGAACCUUUGUAUCUUGAAGGCCAUCCUAAGAGAAUUGAUCAAGAUUCUCAAGGAAUUAAUGCUGAUACACCCAGUCAUCCUAAGAAGAAGGAUGAUAGAAACCUACAUGUCAGUACCAAAUACUGUCACACAUGAAGAACCAAAUGAUAUUUCUGCGUCUGAUGCAGAAACAAAAUCUGGUGAUGAACAUGAAUCUCGUGACAAUAUGGAUAGUGAUGUUCAUAAUAAUUCUCAACCUAGCAAUGAUGAGGGUGUGGAGAUUGAAUCUACGGUUAAUCCUGAUAACCCACAACCUAAGAGAUACGAUAAGAAUGACUUCACUGCUAGGAAGCAUGGUAAAGAAAGGGAGCCAUGGGUUCAGAGACCUAUGCCCUUUCCUCCUAAGACAUCCAAGAAAAAGGAUGAUGAGGAUUUUGAGCGCUUCGUUGAGAUGAUAAGACCUGUCUUUCUGCAGAUGCGGUUAAUUGAUAUGCUCAAAAUGUCUCCAUAUGCCUAGUACAUGAAAGAGAUCGUGACUAAUAAACGGAAGAUACCAGAUCUUGAGAUCUCCACCAUGCUUGCCAAUUACACUUUCAAAGGUGGAACUCCUAAAAAACUUGGUGAUCCCGCAGUGCCCACUAUACCUUGCUCCAUUAAAGGAAACUACGUAAGAACUGCAUUAUGUGACCUUGGAGCCCGUGUUAGUGUCAUGCCGCUCUCUCUUUAUCGUAGACUUGAAUUGGAUAAGUUGACACCCACUGAAAUUUCUCUGCAAAUGGUCGACAAAUCAACUGCUUUCCCUAUCGGCAUUUGCGAGGAUGUGCCUGUUGUAGUUGCUAACACCACUAUCUUAACAGACUUUGUUAUCUUGGAUAUUCCCGAGGACGAUGCCAUGGCUGUCAUCCUUGGAAGACCCUUUNNNNNNNNNNCUUGGUGAUCCCAGAGUGCCCACUAUACCUUGCUCCAUUAAAGGAAACUACGUAAGAACUGCCUUAUGUGACCUUGGAGCCCGUGUUAGUGUUAUGCCGCUCUCUCUUUAUCGUAGACUUGAACUGGAUAAGUUGACACCCACUAAAAUUUCUCUGCAAAUGGCCAACAAAUUAACUGCUUUCCCUAUCGGCAUUUGCUAGGAUGUGCCUGUUGUCGUUGCUAACACCACUAUCUUAACAGACUUUGUUAUCUUAGAUAUUCCCGAGGACGAUGCCAUGGCUGUCAUCCUCGGAAGACCCUUUUUAAACACUGCAGGGGCUGUUAUAGAUUGCAACAAAGGCAAUGUCACUUUCCAUGUCAACGGUAAUGAGCAUACAGUGCACUUUCCAAAGAAACGAUAUCAAGUACAUUGCAUCAAUGCUAUCGAAAAAACUUCAUCGAUUCUUAUUGGGUGCUUUGAAUUCCCUAUUCCUCGUGUCAAGAUGAAGUAUGAUUUGCUUGUUGUGGAGAUACAUAUCCCCAUUGAGGUGACUUAGUGGCUAUUCGAAAAUUCNNNNNNNNNNGGCAUACAGUGCACUUUCCGAAGAAACGAUAUCAAGUACAUUGCAUCAAUGCUAUCAAAAAACUUCAUCGAUUCUUAUUGGGAGCUUUGAAUGCCCUAUUCCUUAUGUUAAGAUGAAGUAUGAUUUGCUUGUUGGGGAGAUACAUAUCCCCAUUGAGGUGACUUAGUGGCUAUUCGAAAAUUCUCCGUUCUCUUUUGCGAUUCGAGAAGGUUUUGUCAUGAGGAUUUGAUGAACCCCAUUGACGGAUUUCUUUCAAUGACCAUGAAAUGGAUGAAUCAAGGAGUCACACACCUCUGUUUUAAGCUUUCACUUUCUGUUGCUUAGAAGAAAAAUUAUAGAUUUAGUUUAGUUGUUCCUGCUUUCUGUUUUAGCGCCCCGGAGAAAAAUACCCCGAAAAUAAAAGUUCUCCAAUGGUCCUGAAAAUCUAGUAUGAUUUUUUUUGGAAUAUGUGAAAAAUACUGGAACUGAGACCUGGCCUCGGGGCCACACCAGUGGGCCACAAGCCCUGUAGUCGCCGCCCCCCUGGUGGCGGCUACCAAGCUUGUGGGGCCCACAGGGACCCCCUCCACUCAUUCCAGCUCCCAUCCUCUUCCUCUACCUCCAGAAGAAAUCGUUUCGCAGCUCAAACCCGUGUUCUUGCUCAUUUGGCUGAGAUUUUCGAUCUCCUUGCUCAAAGCACCAUUCUCCAAACCGUUUUGGGGAAAUUACUCCUUGGUAAGUGACUCCUCCAUUGGUCCAAUUAGUUUUUGCUCUAGUGCUUUAUCCUUCGCGUAUUCUUGCUACCUUGGUGACCUUGUUCUUGAGCUUGAAAUGUUGAUUUUAGCUAGUCCCAAGUAGUUUUAGCGCGUGAUAUGGUUUCUAGGCACUAGUAGGAGUAAUUGCCAGAAGGUGUGGUUGGUCUUUAUUCACUUUUCUCUUGAACUUCAAAAAUUUCAGCAAAAGGAAAUUAUGUUCAGGAGGAAGUUUCAUGGUGGUUCCUCAAGUAAGAAGGGUCCCCGUCUUUCUAUUCGGGAGCCCGAUCCUUUUCAACUAAGGGACGCACCAGUAUAACCAUGUGAAUGGCCUUCCGAUGAGUUCAUGAUCAAAGAAGGCUUCAAGGAUGAGUUUGAUACACUUGUCCGCAAUGCCGGGUUAGAAGAAUUCCUCUCAGAUAAAUGUGAACAGUAUGCUAUGCUCACUACCUCUUUCGUGCGUAGAUUUAAAUUUUUAGUUGGCCGUGACUCAUCCAUACUGUUUGAUCUGUAUGAUAAAUCCUACACCAUGGAUUUGGAGGAUUUCAAUAGGAUUUGCAAGAUACCCGAUGGGGGUAGUCUUAAUGAUCCUGCUAAGUCUUCGGUUAGAGAUUUUGUCUCUAGUAUAACUGUUGGAGAAACUAGAGACAUCACGCAAGCUACCAUAGGAAGCAUUCAUUUCCCUGCCUUGCACUACUUUGCCCUCUUCAUAGGUAGAUGCAUUAAUGGCAAGGUUUCACAUUGUCACCUAUGCGCAUCCGACCUUAGUAUCCUUAAGAGCGCAGUAAUAGGUGACAGGAGCUUCAACAUGGGAGCUAUAAUAGCAAGGAGGCUGAAUAAUAAUGCCAUUGAUGGGGAUUUCUUUGGUGGAAUUUAUGCUACGCGCUUAGCAAAUUUUCUUGGAGUACCCAUCCGUUCAGGAGACCCCCCUCUCCGUACAGCCUACCUUGAUCGUGUCACUCUAACACGCUGCCAGUUCCUUGAGAGGGAUGAUGAAUCCCUCCUAUACCGUUUGAUAUUUAACCGGCAGCGUGUUUUCCAUAUUACCCUUCCUGCUCCUGCUCUCUUUGACUUCUAGGUAAAACGGAGAUAUUACAUAACCAGAGGAGAGGCAGAGGAGUAUGAGAGGGAGGCAAAGGUUGUUCGUCUCCAUGAGGCAGCUGUUCAGGCAGUGGCUGCAGCACUCCCGUAUAACACCCAUUAUGAUUUUGGGUUUCGCCAGGACCAUCCUUGGGGGAGCACGUGUUCUCACCGACCUUACAUUCAUGCUUAUGCUUUCACUUUGUUAGUCGGUGUUUACACUUUGCCACUGUAUUAUCCAUGCUGGUUUAUUUUUGUUUUCUUGUUUUCUUGUUUUGUGUCCUUUUGAGAAAACCCAAAAAGAUUUUCCUUUCUUCUUUUGCUUGUUGGGAGUUUUCCCGUGUAAAUAGUUUUCUUUUUCUUUGGGUCAAGGUAGAAGAUAUUGGUUACAAUGUUUAGUGGCUCUUGCAUGCAUACCUGUUUAGCUUUCAAAAAGCCAUAUUACUUUGUCUUCUCCUUUGUGUUUGCCUGCAGAUUCAGCUUAGUCCAAUGCAUGAGCACUCUUAUUAUUGUUCACAUCGUUCGAUCGUGCAAGCGAAAGGCAAUAAUGAUGAUAUAUGAUGAAGUGACUGAGACUGGAAAAGCUGGUAUGAACUCUAUCUAUUUUUUUGUAAUUAUGACUAGCUUGUCGUUCCAGAUUCAGCUUUGUUGUGAGAGAACCAUGUUUGCAAUGACAACUUAGAGAUCAUAGUUUCUGAUGCCAUGCUUAAUUAGCUGAGAGCUUAAAAUGGUUUGUCUUGAAUGCCAACAUAGAUUUUGAGAUGACUAUGAUGUNNNNNNNNNNNNNNNNNNNNNNNNNNNNNNNNNNNNNNNNNNNNNNNNNNNNNNNNNNNNNNNNNNNNNNNNNNNNNNNNNNNNNNNNNNNNNNNNNNNNUUUGGCGCAUGUUCAUGCAUGUAGUUGAAACAAAAUCAACAUAGCCUCUAUGAUGUUCGUAUUCGUGGUGAUUUAUAUCCUGCUCAUGCUUGCACUCAAUGUUAGUCAAACUCAUUGCAUCUUGAUGACUGUUGUCGCUCUCUAGUUGGUCACUUCCCAGUCUUUUGCUAGCCUUCACUUGUACUAAGCGGAAUACUGCUUGUGCAUCCACUUCCAUAAACCCAAAAGUUUUUCCAUGAGAGUCCACCAUACCUACCUAUUUGCGGUAUCUACGUGUCAUUCCAAGUAAAUUUGCAUGUGUCAUUCUCUAAACCUUCAAGAAAUAAUCUAUUUUGCAUGCCCGAACCGCUCAUGUGGUGACAGGGGGCUAUUGGUAUCUUCCAUGUUAGGCGUGUUAUCAUCAACAUGUGUUUAUUCACUGUCAUUCACGAGAAAGGGGCCGGUAAUUGGAAUGCCCAGUUCCACGCUUAAAUCGAAAACAUAACUGUAAAACAAGACUCCCCCCGGAUUGCUGUUAGUAUGGAUGGUACUCGAGGAUUCGGCUAGCCGUGGAGUGUGAUUGAUUGGUGGUGGGGGAGUUAAAACUUUACUUUUCUGUUUGGGGACCGCCUGUAGCAUGAGUAGCAGGGAAGAUAUUGAGAACUCUUGGUCAUUGCGUUGACAAUGAAAGCAUGCCACCCAAAAUUAUUAUCUCUGUUUUCAAAGCUUGAGCUCUGGCACCUCUGCAAAUCAAUGCUUCCCUCUGCGAAGGGUUUGUCUAUUUAUUUUCCUGUUGAGUCAUCCUCUUCUUAUAUAAGCACCAAUUAGAGAGCACCUCUGUCAUUUUUAUGCUUUGCUUUUGAUUGAUAUUGAGUAUGACUAUGACUGGAUCUUCGUUGCUAUGAAUUACAAUGUUUAGUCAGCCCUUGAUCUUUGAGAGUGCUCUGCAUUUAUGUUUUGCGGUCUCAAAAAGAGCUAGCGAGAUACCACCUAUUCAUAUUGCUUCAUGCUUGUUUUGAUUGAAUUGUUGGUAUCUGAAACUCAUUAUUAUUUGCUCGCUAGCUGAUUAUGCCAUUGAUAUUAGUUUACCAUGAUACCUUUGUGUCACUUGCUUAUGUGGUUAACUUGUGAUCUUGCUGAAAUUUUGGUUAUGAGUUAGACAUAGUUGCAACAACAAGAUCAAACAGAGUUUGUCAAAGUUUUUCUUUCUCUUUCAGUUUGUCAACUAAGUUGCUUGAGGACAAGCAAGGUUUUAAGCUUGGGGGAUUUGAUACAUCUCCAUCGUAUCUACUUUUACAAACACUUUUGCCCUUGUUUUGGACUAUAAUUUGCAUGAUUUCACUGGAACUAACCCGGACUGACGUUGUUUUCAGCAGAAUUGCCAUGGUGUUGUUUUUGUGCAGAAAUGAAAGUUCUCGGAACGUCCUGAAAAUUUAUAGAGAAUAUUUCUGGAAAAUAUGAAAAAUACCUGCGCAAAGAUCCACCAGAGGGGACGGGCCAGUGGGCCACAAGCACUGUAGCCACCCCCCUGGUGGCGGCUACCAAGCUUGUGGGGCCCACGUGGCUCUGCCGCCCCCAAUUCCAGCGCUAUUUAUUCCCUUUCGUCCCAGAAAAAAUNNNNNNNNNNNNNNNNNNNNNNNNNNNNNNNNNNNNNNNNNNNNNNNNNNNNNNNNNNNNNNNNNNNNNNNNNNNNNNNNNNNNNNNNNNNNNNNNNNNNCCGCGCGCUCGCCGCCGCCGCCGAGGGCUUCGGCCGCCGCGCCAUCGGGGGCCUCCACGGCGCCCUCUACCACGUCACCUCCCUCCAAGGUCCUUCCCCCCUCCUCCUCCCAUCACGCACCCUGGAAUCCCACCAGCAAAUUGGGGAUCAACCCAUGAACUGACCGUUCGGUUCGGCGCGCAGACGACGGGCAGGGGACGCUGCGGGAGGCGUGCCGGGCCAAGGAGCCGCUGUGGAUCGUCUUCGAGGUGUCCGGCGACAUCCACCUCCGCACCUACCUCCGCGUCUCCUCCCACAAGACCAUCGACGGGCGCGGCCAGCGGGUCAGGCUCACCGGCAAGGGCCUCCAGCUCAAGGACUGCCACCACGUCAUCGUCUGCAACCUCCGGUUCGAGGCCGGCCGCGGGCACGACGUCGACGGCGUCCAGAUCAAGCCCGGCUCCACCAACAUCUGGAUCGACCGCUGCUCCCUCGCCGACUACGACGACGGCCUCAUCGACAUCACCCGCCAGAGCACCGACAUCACCGUCUCCAGGUCCUUCCCGCUUUUCCACUGUCCCUCCUGACACCAACUACAGUAUAUUUCUGUGUACAGCAUCACGCAAUCUUCACCUUAUUUCGUUUGAUGAUUGUGCUGAUGAACAUGUGACUGCAUUCGUGCUGCACAGAUGCCACUUUGCAAGGCAUGACAAGACGAUGCUCAUCGGCGCAGACCCCACGCACGUCGACGACAGGUGCAUCAGGGUCACCAUCCACCACUGCUUCUUCGACGGCACGCGGCAGAGGCACCCGCGCCUGCGCUUCGGCAAGGUCCACCUCUACAACAACUACACCAGGGACUGGGGCGUAUACGCCGUCUGCGCCGGCGUAGAAGCUCAGGUAGCUCAUUCGGAUGCGCCAUUCCAUAUGCUUGCAGCCGACAGCGCUUGGAAACCAUCGAUCUCUAAUGAAUCAGUUCCUUCGUUUCCAGAUUGUGUCCCAGUGUAACAUAUACGAAGGAGGACAUAAGAAGACGGUCUUCAAGUACAUGCCGGAGAAGGUACUCUGCAUCUUCAGACAAGAUGAGAUGAGGCUGAGCAUUUUGCAUACAUCUGAUUGCAUUGCUACUGAUAUCUACUAUCUCAGUGCAUUGCUGAUUGAUGCUGCAGGCUGCUGACAGAGAAGAGACGGUGGCCGGGUGGAUCAGGUCGGAGGGCGACGCGUUCCUGCACGGGGCGCUGCCGUGCCUGGUCGACGGCCCGGGCGCCGAGUGCGUCUUCAGGCCGGAGGAGUACUACGACAAGUGGACGAUGGAGGCGGCGUCGCCGGCGCUCAAGGAGGUCAUUCAGCUCUGCGCCGGGUGGCAGCCUGUGCCCAGGCCCCCGGACUGCUAGCGCUGUAAGCCUGUAAAUCAUGGAAAUUCAGGUUCAGGCCCAAGGACUGCAAACCUGAACGACUGAUCCAUUCGCGUAACUGUAUCAAAUUCUGCUCGUUUAUCCUCUGCUAGUGCUAGCACUGUAAUAAACUGUUAAGCUUGUAUCGGUUUUACAUUGGAUAUAGGAAGCAAGUGGUCAUUGCUGAUGUGAAUUGUUAUUCCGCAGAAGAGAGAAUUCACAGUGGUCAGACGAAGCAAGUGGUUAUUUGAUUUCCAAUGCAAAUUAAUGACAAAAAAGGUAAAAUUUGCUCAUGGAAAAGAUAAACUGUAGAAGAGAGUUUACAGUCCACCGUGAAAAAAAAGAGAGUUUGCAGUAAAGGAAGCAAUUGGUGAUCUUUAACGCAAAUUAACAUAAAAAGGAAACUGCAGUCGAUAAGAGGAAGCAUAUGGUGAUAUAUGAUGCAAAUAGUAUCAAAAUAGCAGAAGGAACAUAAAAAAAUUACAAUAGCGGAAGAAAUGGCUGACUUUCAAAAACUCCGUAUCUAUACUACUAAUAAAAGAUCAAACGAAAACUUCUCUAGAUACACACAACUAUUACCCCCACAAAAACAAACACCAAUCACCACCACACAAAUAGACAACAAAUUACAAUCUAACGGCCUUCCACCAUCCACGCAGCACCACCGUGUGCAUUUACCAAAUAAAAUAAGGCUGACCGUGCUCCACCUCCUCGCUCAACCCGCUCGCCUCGCGCCCCCGUCGCCCCCCUCAGGCCGUAAACACCCCUCCCCACCCACGAUCGUAGCCUCUUCCUUCCCNNNNNNNNNNNNNNNNNNNNNNNNNNNNNNNNNNNNNNNNNNNNNNNNNNNNNNNNNNNNNNNNNNNNNNNNNNNNNNNNNNNNNNNNNNNNNNNNNNNNCGUCGCCGGCCAGGACCUCCCGUGGUCGCCCGCCUCGCGCCAGAUCCGGCGAGCAGCAACCCGGAUCCGGCCGCCGCGCCCUCGCUGGACCGCCGUAGGCCUCACCGGCCUGCCCUGCGGGACCUCUCCCCGUGCGCCUGCAAACCCCGCCAACGCCGCCAUGUCCUCUGGCCUCGCUCCCACGAGGCGACGGGAGGGAGACGAGGCAGUCCCUCCUCCAGACCGUUGACCGCGCCUGGGCCCCGCGGCCCAAGUCCCCAGUCUGCCCCACCAACCUCCAUCGGCCCACUGCCUCCUCCGGCCCAAAGGUGAGCCCCUGCCCUAUCCCACACCCAUGGCGUAGCUUAGUUUUGCUGCGCCCCCUGUUCGGCCCAAUAGUUUAUUAGGUAUUUUCGGAAUUGUAAUUAAAUUCCAAGAAAAUAUGACGAUUUAAAAUGUCUGUAACUUUUUAUCCGUGUGUCGGAUCGAGACGUGCAAUAUAUGGUUUUCGUGUAGUUUCUCGUGUAGUAUCCGUUUUUAUAACUUGCAUAAUUGUUUGACGUCGAUUAGCUGCCGGAUGCCUAGAAUAGCGUGCUGUUUUAAUAGGAUACGUCCCGUAUUUAAUUUUCGCGCAAGUCCGGAUUGCUCGUGUGCCGUAUUAGAAAUGCCUAUGUUUUAGGAACUAUUUUUCCAUGUAUUUUAGAGUAGUCAUUCAUAUUUUUGCGUGUAGGGUUUGCCGGUAGUUUAUUUUCCCGUAUCUAGGUGUUUAUCUCGCAUUAAUGUGCGACAUUAUUAUUGUUGUGCAACCCCACAUGUUUUAUAUGUUUUCGGGGUAGAAAAAUCCCAUGGAUUUUCUGUGCAAUUAGUUUUAGCUUUCGAGUAAGUUAGUUCGCGAGAUNNNNNNNNNNNNNNNNNNNNNNNNNNNNNNNNNNNNNNNNNNNNNNNNNNNNNNNNNNNNNNNNNNNNNNNNNNNNNNNNNNNNNNNNNNNNNNNNNNNNUGCUGCGGGGAGAGGAGGGAGACCAGGUGGCGGCGGCUGGGUUGGUGGGCGCGGAAAACAAGGGAAACUCUAGGGUUUGCCUAAAAUGGCAGGGAGGGCUUCUUAAAUAGGGAAAGGGGCUAGGGUGCAGGGUAUUUGGGGGUUUUUCGACCCUCCGGUCGCGAUCGUGCGGUCUGAUUGGAGAGGCGGGUUAGGGUUAGGUGUGUAGAGUGGCGUUGGCUAAGAUGAGAGGGGAGUGGUGCGGCGCGACAGCGACUUUUAAAACACCGACAGACGUCCGACGGCAGACCGAAGACGGUGCCGCUACGGUCGACCGUUCGGGUACCAGACGGUCUCCGAUUGCGACGAAACUUGACAGGCGGCCUACCUAUAUAAAGAAAAUACCGCACGACAAAUUCGAGCUCAAUCGGAGAAAGUUUUAUACACGAUUUAAAAACAGGGUUACAACGGUGCCGCGGGCGCGUGCGAGUGCAGUCGGGCUCAGAACAAACAACUACGAGAACCGACAACUAACAGCGGAUGCAAGUUUUGAAAACGGGCGGCAACGGAGAUGCCGAUGCAAUGCAGAUGAUGCGAAUGAUGCGAUGAUGACACGACAAAUAAAAUAAGCCACACGACGAAAACGGAAAGAGAGGGGAAUUUUCUGGAACGUCGGCAUCGGGUUGUCACACUUUGGCCCAUAGCAAGGUGGUGCAUGUUCGAAUCCUAACACUUUCCCGCAAAAAAAAAUCCUAACACUUGCAAACAUAUUUUCCUAUAGUCAUAAUUUCCCUUGUACAUGGACCGGUUUUAUCACUCAGUUUUUCGAAAAAAAGGGCGGUUCGAUAAACGGUUCGGCUGCAGAACAAUCCGCAUAGCUUAAAAGGACGUCGAGCCUGCUGGUUUCGGUUUUUUCCACUCCGAUUGAUGGCCCGGUCCGGUUUUUUAAGCUAUGGGCCAGACUCGUAUUAGAGGCAAACUCUUCCUCGCUGUCGGCAGCGAGGUUGUUCGUCGACGACAAGGCGGCUGGUUCAUGGGUGGAUCACGGAGCAGCCAUGGACGGGCUUGGUUGGGAAAUACUACCUUCGUUUCGGUUUAUAAGACUUAUGCGUAUCUCUAGGUCUAUAAUUUAACCAACAUAAGAUGAGUUGUAUAGUUUAAAAAUUAUAUCAUUAGAAAGAAGACGAUGUGAAGUUUCUAAUGAUAUGUUUUUUGUGAUAUAUAAUUUGUAUUAAGUUGAAUCAUUUAUUAACUUAGGGAUACACACAAGCCUUAUAAACUGGAAAAGAGUAGUAGGAACAUAGAUGAAACAGUUGAGCAGGUGCGCCCAACAUGCGUGAUAUUGCCAAAAUGGACUUGUGCAUGCAUGUGAAAUUGAAUUGGCCAAANNNNNNNNNNAUCUCACUUUGGUUGGGGUGGGAGGGGGGCACGGUCCCCUCAGACUUACAUGUAGCUCUGUCGUUGCAUGUCAGGGUUACACCCUUGUCAUAGACACGUCGUUGGUGAGACUGAAGAGGACCGCGCCGAGAAAAAGUUAUGUGGAGAGAGUGACUACUUUCAAUGGGUUGAGGAGGACAGCUAUCGUAAGGCUGAAUCAACCAACAUAAGAAGAGUUGUAUAGUUUAAAGUUAUAUCAUUAGAAAGAAGACGAUGUGAAGUUUCUAAUGAUAUGUUUUUGUGAUAUAUAAUUUGUAUUAAGUUGGUUCAUUUAUUAACUUAGGGACACACGCAAGCCUUAUAAACCGAAAAGGAGUAGCAACUAUUGCCAAAAUGGACUUGUGCAUGCAUGUGAAAUUGAAUUGGCCAAAAGUGAUAGAUAAUCUCACUUUGGUUGGGGUGGUAGGGGGGCACUGUCCCCUCAGACUUACAUGUAGCUCCGAUGUUGCAUGUCUACACCCUUGUCAUAGACAUGUCGUUGGUGAGACUGAAGAGGAUCGCGCCGAGAAAGAGUUAUGUGGAGAGGGCGGCUAAUUCCAAUGGGUCGAGGAGGACAGUUGUCGUAAGGCUAAAUCAAUUGUUGGCUGCACGCGCCUCCCCGCCGUCCUCGACUAGUUCGACCCAUGUUGAUGACCGCCUCGACAGAAGUGGACGUCAUGCUUUGCCUUAAAAAUGUGGCAUUAUCCCGCACCGUUGAAUCAACCAGAAAUUAGUAACUUAUUUUCAUCAAUUUGAAUACUUUGAAUCAAUAUUUGGAUCAUAGUACUUACCACUCCAUUUUUUUAUGAAACGGGCACGAUGAUCCUUGUUGAACGUAGGGUCAAGCAUGGAGUACCUAAUGUCGAUGUUGUCCGCAAGAGAUGGCCGCCUAAAUAAAAUUGCAUAAGCAUAAAUAAAUAAAAUGCAACAUGAUUCAUUCAUUCAUAUAACAUCCACUAUACGCGUAUAUGUUUUUUUCAAUAUGCAUCAUAUCAUCAUUUUUUCAAAAAAAUAUAAACUAGGGUUCAUUUGAAGCAUAAUUUCUUCAACAACAUCCACUAUACAACAUGCAUCAUAUCAAAACAAACAUAGCAGUUUAUUCCUCCAACAUGCAUCAUAUCAUAAAUUUUUCAAAAAAUAAACAUGAACUAGAGUUCAUAUUCACACUACCGUUGCAACUAGUGGCUGGAGUUCACAUUCAACCCCAUAGAAUAUCUAGAAUCAACCUAAAACAAACCUAGGAUAAAAAAUUAUAGAACUAAAAAUAGGGUUGAUUUGAAGCAAAUAAUGCGUCGAAUCGGAAGCUAUUUGACUAAAACUAAUUGGAGGGAUAAGAGGAGCUUACUUUUCUCGUUUUGGGGCCAUCUCGAUCCGCAAAAACGAUGAAGAAACGAAGAAUAUCCGAGGAGGAAGCGAAGGAGAUGAGAGGGGGCGAGAGGAAGAACUCCUUUGUUUCAACAACGCUCGGAGGAAGAGAUGGGGUGGGGUGGGGCGGGCGGGCCCACGGCUGAUAACUGUCUAGAGCCUACUGCCAGAGACCCCGGCGGUAGGUUAAGACAUCCUACCCCCGGGACCAACGGCAAUAAGGUGGCACGGAAGGGGACGACAACUAUCUAGACAUAUUUUAGAGUGUAGGUUCACUCAUUUUGCUCCGUACUUAGUUCGUAGUGCAAUCUUUAGAAAGAUACUCCCUCUGUUCCUAAAUAUAAGUCUUUGAAAAGAUUUCAUUAGGAGACUAUAUACGAAGCAAAAUGAGUGAAUUUAUACUUUAAUGUAUGUCUAUAUACAUCCGUAUGUAGUUUUUUAAUGAAAACUCUAAAAAAGACUUAUAUUUAGAAACAGAGGGAGUAGACGCUCAACUUUCUACUAAUUUUGUACAAUUAGUAAAAAAUCGAAUCAUUUAUUUUAAAACGGAGGGAGUAUUUAGAAUCGAAUUCGCUACUUUCUUGGGAUUGAAGUCUCUUCUACCUCUGAUGGCUUCUUUAUAUCCCAGGAAAAGUACAUGCAGGAUCAGACAUAAGAAACUGCUCACUAAGACGGGCCUUGACAAAGGCAAUAUACUCGGGGUCAUCCCCAGUGAUGACCAUGUCAUCAACAUAGAGAAGAAGAAAAGUCCGACCACGAGAAGAAAGGUGAAUAAACAAUGCUGGAUCAUGAACACUGGGUGAAAAACCAGCGGCGGUGACCACAGAGGCAAAACGCUCAAACCAGGCGCGUGGAGCUUUCUUAAGGCCAUAGAAAGAGCGACGAAGACGACAUACCAUGCCAUCAGGAACAGAAUAUGACAGAAGGUGAUCAAUGUCAUGUCAAAAAAUCUUCUAGAGUUGAUCUAGAACAACUGCAAGAUGUCAAAUGCGUAUGCGUAUGUACCAAACGAUGCAUAAGCCUAGAUCACGUCUAAGACAUGGAAAGUGGAACCUUCAUGGAAGGUGGCCGAACCGAUCGCAUAUACUUUUCCAACACGGAGAAGAAGGGGAUAUAAAAUCAUCCCGGCCGUCCGUUCCAAGCUCCAGGCCCCCUCAUCAAUCCUCGACGCGUCUGUCCGUCCGUCAUCGCGCGCGCGCGGCACAGAAGUCAGAACCCCCAACCACGCCCGCCACCGCCGACCGCGCACCGCCCCGCCCNNNNNNNNNNNNNNNNNNNNNNNNNNNNNNNNNNNNNNNNNNNNNNNNNNNNNNNNNNNNNNNNNNNNNNNNNNNNNNNNNNNNNNNNNNNNNNNNNNNNAGGUAUAUCAGGCAAUUCAUAUCUAGGAGAGCUAGAUCUAGCAGGAGCAAAAGCAGGUUCUAUCUCAAUAAUAUCGGCAGUUUCAGAAGCAUCACGAGCAUUGAUAGUAACUCUAGCAAUAUGAGCAUCAAGGAAUACCCCUAGUGGCAUAUCAGGCAAAGUAGUAUCUCUAGCAGUAUCAAGCAUAGCAUCAUCAGGCAAAAUAGCAUCUCUAGCAUCAUCAGGCAAAGCAGUAUCAAGCAUAGCAUCAUCAGGCAAGGCAGUAUCAGGCAUAACAUCUCUAGCAGUAUCAGGCAUAGUAGCAUCAUAAGCAUCAUCAAGCACAUGCAACAUAUCAAGAUUUCUAGCACGAGGUGGUGUCGCAAACUUACUCAUAACUUAAGGUGAAUCAAGUGCAGAGCUAGAUGGCAGUUCCUUACCUCCCAUCAUAGUUGAGGGCAAAACUUUGGUUUUUGGAUCUUUUAGAUUCUUCAUAGUGAUCGGCAGAUAUAAAUCCCAAGUGACUCAGAGAAUAUAGCAAUCACCUUCCCCGGCAACGGCGCCAGAAAAAUGUUGUUAGCAGAUCCCUGGCAAUGGCUAGAAAAGUGUUGUUCUCGAUUGCUCAACAAUUAGAAAUUGUCUUGCAAUAGCCCACCAGCGCGUGGGAUCGAGGCAGUUUUCGAGGGUAGAGUAUUCAACCCAAAUUUGUUGGUUCGCACGACGGGAAGUGAAAGUAUAUUCUCAAGUAUUAGCAGCUGAAUGUGUCAGAUUCAACCACACCUGAAAGAUUAGUAUCUGCAAGCAAAGUGUCAACAGCAAAGUAGUAUGAUAACAACGGUGCCAGAAACGAUCUGUUGACGGCAGACUAUUCCUAACUGUUGUAUCAAUGGCGCCAGAAGUUGCCCGUGGACGGGAAAUGUUCUUUCCCAGCAACGGUGCGCGAAAAAGUAUUGUAGCAGGUAGCAGCAGUGGCAAGGAACAGCAGUAGUGACAGCAGUAGCAAGUAGCAACGACAAGUAACAGUAGUGGCAGCAGCAGCAGGGCAAAGCAAGUAAUAGUAGCAACAAGUAACAGUAGCAGAGCAAAACAAGUAACAACAGCAGUGGGACAAACUCGUAGGCAAGGGGUCGGUGAUUUGUUGGAUGACAUUCAUCAUGCAACAGUUAUAACACGGAGAGAUAUGUGGCUAGCUCCCGUUCGUCAAUGUGAUGUAGGCAUGCAUUUCGUGUGUCGUCAUACGUGCUUAUGGAAAAGAACUUGCAUGACAUCUAUUGUCCAUCCCUCUCGUGGCAGCGGGGUCCAAAAGGAUACUACGGGAUAUUAAGGUUCUCCUUUUAAUAAAGAACCGGAACAACGCAUUAGCACUUGGUGAACACAUGAACUCCUCAAACUAUGGUCAUCACCGGGAGUGGUUCCGGUUAUUGUCACUCCGGGGUUGCCGGAUCAUAACACAUAGUAGGUAACUACAACUUGCAAGAUCGGAUCUAAAANNNNNNNNNNCAGAUAUGAAAUCAUGGCACUCGGGCCCUAGUGACAAGCAUUAAGCAUGGCAAAGUAGUAGCAACAUCAAUCUCAGAACAUAGUAGAAACUAGGGAUCAAUCCCCGUCAAAACUAACUCGAUUACAUGAUAGAUGUCAUCCUACUCAUCACCGCCCAACGAGCCUAUGAAUAGAUUACUCACGAACGAUGAAGAGCUUCAUGGAAUUGGAGAGGGAAGAAGGUUGAUGAUGACGAUGGCGAUGAUUUCCCCUCCCCGGAGCCCAAAGCGGACUCCAGAUCUGCCCUCCAGAUGAAGAACAGGAUGUGGCGGCGCCUCCGUAUCGCAAACAAGAUGAAAUCUUCUCUCUUGAUUUUUUCUGGGACGAAAGGGAAUAAAUAGCGCUGGAAUUGGGGGCGGUAGAGCCACGUGGGCCCCACAAGCUUGGUAGCCGCCACCAGGGGGCGACGGCUACAGGGCUUGUGGCCCACUGGCCCGUCCCCUCCGGUGGAUCUUUGCGCAGGUAUUUUUCAUAUUUUCCACAAAUAUUCUCCGUAAAUUUUCAGGACGUUCCGAGAACUUUCAUUUAUGCACAAAAACAACACCAUGGCAAUUCUGCUGAAAACAACGUCAGUCCNNNNNNNNNNUCAUUCAAAUCAUGCAAACUAGAGUCCAAAACAAGGGAAAAAGAGUUUGGAAAAGUAGAUACGAUGGAGACGUAUCAAGCGUCAUGCCGCAUCCUACACCAUGUUGUCGUGGAAGGAGAAACCAGAGAGUAAGGCUCGUUUCGAAAGCUACUCAAUUGGCCAUUCCAAUCCAUUAUAUUUAUUGAGUGAGUGGACUCCCAUAAGGCUCACAAUUAUGGUCACAAUCUAUAAAAAUAUAAGCCAUCAGUAGAAGUAGUUAACAGUAAACUAUAAGCAUUAAUCAUAGAACUAUUCUUAGACAAUGCAAGUAAACACAUGUUUUAUCAAUGUAAACAUAGAAACACAUUUGCGUAUGUAUAUACACUAUAAUCAUGACGUAGUACGUAGUAGUGAUGGAUUGUUCCAACAGUGAAGACUCCCUAAAACCACACGGCCAUGGCAAGAGCAUAAAGCAUAGAUAAUCAAUACUAUAAAUUUAAUGUAUAAAUAGGAAGGCCUCUACCAAUUUAGUGCAUUUCGUUCUUUUGAUGGACUACAUGAGAUGUACACUUACCAAGAAAAAUGUGGAACCAUCGGAUGUCUAUUGCCUAAGCUGAUCACAGAGAUAUGCAAGUGAAGAAACAAUAGUUACAAAUAAAUAAUUACUAAGAGUGAAGUAAAAACACGAGGUAUACAAUCGAAUUAAUGAUGUGAUGUACGAAGAUGGUGAAAAAGAUAGUGAUAUUGAUAGAGAGAUAAUCGAUGCAUGGUUCCUUAGUGCACCCUUUGGCAAAAUGAAAACAAAAACCAAAGCAAGACCACUAAAUAACAUACAGAUCCCAAAUGGCCCAAGCAAAAGCUCCGAGAGGACUUCCAUUCAUGAUUAGAAAAAAUAUAAGAACAUUUUUAACCAAAAAACUUUUCAGAAAAUAAAUUUACUUGACACUCUCGUUUUAAACAACCCGUGAGGGAUCUGCGCCACACUAAUUCAAAUAAGCAAUGUAGCAAUUAAUAUUGAUGGGAGCAGCUUAAAAAUAGAUUGAUGUCCAGUGAACUAAACAGUAAAGAAAAUCAUAAUAAAGGGUCUGCUCUGACCAAAAUAGAUACUACCCCCUUAUGUCAUAUGGGAGAAAAAAUAGACCCAUCACCAAAGUAAGACAUAAAUCCGAAGUCUAGAUGGAUCUUCACUCACAUCAACAUAAUAGAGGAAUAUACCAGAAAGACGAACACUAUAUAGUAGAUAAGAAAAAUGUGUGUAUUCGUAGCAUAGCAAAAGAGGGCUCAAUUUUGUCUUUGAUCUUCAAGCCGAACACUCACAUCUCUUGCUGCAUAACAUACUUCUACCUCUUGAGCUUGUGUUAGUUUUUCCCUCGAAGAGGAAAGGGUGAUGCAACACAGUAGCAAUAAGUAUUUCCCUUAGUUUGAGGACCAAGGUAUCAAUCCAGUAGGAGUAUCAAGGCAAGUCUCCAAAGUACCUGCGCAAAACAAGCAAACUUGCACCCAACGCUACAAAGGGGUUGUCAAUCCCUUCACGAUUGAUUGCAAGGUGAGAUCUGAAGGCGGAAGGUACAACAAAGUAAAAGUGUAGAGCUGAAAAUAUGAUGUGAAGUAGACCCGGGGGCCAUAGUGUUCACUAGAGGCUUCUCCCAUGAUAGCAAAUAUUACGGUGGGUGAACGAAUUACUGUCGAGCAAUUGAUAGAACCGCGCAAAGUCAUGAUGAUAUCUAAGGCAAUGAUCAUACAUAUAGGCAUCACGUCCGAGACAAGUAGACCGAUACUUCCUACAUCUGCUACUAUUACUCCACACAUCGACCGCUAUCCAGCAUGCAUCUAGUGUAUUGAGUUCAUAACAAACAGAGUAACGCCUUAAGCAAGAUGACAUGAUGUAGAGGGAUAAAUUCAUGCAAUAGAUAUAAUCCCCAUCUUUUUACCCUUGAUGGCUGAUAUGUCUCCAUCGUAUCUACUUUUCCAAACUCUUUUGCCCUUGUUUUGGACUCUAAUUUGCAUGAUUCGAAUGGAACUAACCCGGACUGACGCUGUUUUCAGCAGAAUUGCCAUGGUGUUGUUUUUGUGCAGAAAUGAAAGUUCUCGAAACGUCUUGAAAAUUUACGGAGAAUAUUUAUGGAAAAUAUGAAAAAUACCUGCGCAAAGAUCCACCGGAGGGGACGGGCCAGUGGGCCACAAGCCCUGUAGCCGCCGCCCCUGGUGGCGGAUACCAAGCUUGUGGGGCCCACGUGGCUCUGCCGCCCCCAAUUCCAGCGNNNNNNNNNNUGAAAAAAUCAAGAGAGAAGAUUUCGUCGCGUUUGUGAUACGGAGGCGCCGCCACAUCCUGUUCUUCAUCUGGAGGCAGAUCUGGAGUCCGUUUUGGGCUCCGGAGAGGGGAAAUCGUCGCCAUCGUCAUCAUCAACCUUCUUCCCACUCCAAUUCCAUGAAGCUCUUCAUCGUUCGUGAGUAAUCUAUUCGUAGGCUCGCUGGGCGGUGAUGAGUAGGAUGAGAUCUAUCAUGUAAUCGAGUUAGUUUUGACGGGGAUUGAUCCCUAGUAUCCACUAUGUUCUGAGAUUGAUGUUGCUACUACUUUACCAUGUUUAAUGCUUGUCACUAGGGCCCGAGUGCCAUGAUUUCAGAUCUGAAAUUAUUAUGUUGUCACCAACAUAUGUGUGUUUUAGAUCCGAUCUUGCAAGUUGUAGUUACCUACUACGUGUUAUGACCCGACAACCCCGGAGUGACAAUAACCGGAACCACUCCCGGUGAUGACCGUAGUUUGAGGAGUUCAGGUGUUCACCAAGUGCUAAUGCGUUGGUCCGGUUCUUUAUUAAAAGGAGAACCUUAAUAUCCCGUAGUAUCCUUUNNNNNNNNNNNNNNNNNNNNNNNNNNNNNNNNNNNNNNNNNNNNNNNNNNNNNNNNNNNNNNNNNNNNNNNNNNNNNNNNNNNNNNNNNNNNNNNNNNNNGUAUAAUAACUUAUACUACAAAUGAUCACACAUGAAAAUAUAAGGAAAUUCAGAGACACAUAUGAAUCAAUCGAACAGAGAACCUUGAAUUCCAGCCAAUCAACACAAAAUUCAAAUCCACUAAAAUCAUUAUACUUGCGAAGGGAGACGGAGCACCGUUAGAUACACAUAAAGAUCUCACCUCAAAGACCAUCACUACCUUACAGAGCUUUGCUGACUUGCAACUAUUCCUGACUUGAUGCCUCCACGGUAACAGAGCCAGAAAAGAGCUCGUCCCAAUUGCUCAACAAUUAGAAAUUGUCUUGCAAUAGCCCACCAGCGCGUGGGAUCGCGGCAGUUUUCGAGGAUAGAGUAUUCAACCCAAAUUAGUUGGUUCGCGCGACGGGAAGUAAAAGAAUAUUCUCAAGUAUUAGCAGCUGAAUGUGUCAGAUUCAACCACACCUGAAAGAUUAGUGUCUGCAAGGAAAGUAUCAGCAGCAAAUUAGUAUGAUAGCAAUGGUGCCAGAAACCAUCUGGUGACAAGGCAGACUAUUCCUAAUUGUUGUAUCAAUGACGCGAGAAGUUGCCCGUGGACGGGAAACAUUCUUUCCCAGCAACGGUGAGAGAAAAAGUAUUGUAGCAGGUAGCAAUAGUGUAACGAGUAACAGGAGUGGCAAGGAACAACAGUAGUGACAGCAGUAGCAAGUAGCAACAGUAGCAAGUAGCAGUAGUGGCAGCAGCAGGAGGACAAAGCAAGUAACAGUAGCAGCAAGUAACAAUAGCAGCAAUAGUAGUAACAGCAGCAGCAACAGUAGUAACAGCAGCAGAGCAAAAAAAGUAACAACAACNNNNNNNNNNGAAAAGCAAGUAACAGUAGCAGCAAGUAACAAUAGCAACAAUAGUAGUAACACCAGCAGCAACAGUAGUAACAGCAGCAGAGCAAAAAAAGUAACAACAACAGUGGGACAAACUCGUAGGCAAUGGGUCGGUGAUUUGUCGGAUGAUAUUCAUCAUGCAACAAUUAUAACACGGAGAGAUAUGUGGCUAGCUCCCGUUCGUCAAUGUGAUGNNNNNNNNNNCUUGUCGGAUGAUAUUCAUCAUGCAACAGUUAUAACACAGAGAGAUAUGUGGCUAGCUCCUGUUCGUCAAUGUGAUGUAGGCAUGCAUUCCGUGUGUCAUAUACGUGCUUAGGGAAAAGAACUUGCAUGACAUCUAUUGUCCAUCUCUCCCGUGGCAGCGGGGUCCAAAAGGAUACUACGGGAUAUGAAGGUUCUCCUUUUAAUAAAGAACCGGACCAACGCAGUAGCACUUGGUGAACACAUGAACUCCUCAAACUAUGGUCAUCACCAGGAGUGGUUCCGGUUAUUGUCACUCCGGGGUUGCCGGGUCAUAACACAUAGUAGGUAACUACAACUUGCAAGAUCGGAUCUAAAACNNNNNNNNNNNNNNNNNNNNNNNNNNNNNNNNNNNNNNNNNNNNNNNNNNNNNNNNNNNNNNNNNNNNNNNNNNNNNNNNNNNNNNNNNNNNNNNNNNNNGUGACGAACUAGUUGGAGCACCCCUGCAGGGUUUAAUCUUUCGGAAAGCCGUGCCCGCGGUUAUGUGGCAACUUGGAAUAUUUUGUUAACAUCCGGUAUUAGAGAACUUGAACAUAAACUAAUAAAAAUGCCAACUGUGUGUGUAACCGUGACUGUCCCUUCGAAGCCCUCUCUUCGAUCGGGAACACGGUGGGGUUAUGAAUGCCGUAGGUAUGUGUUCAGGAUCACUUUCUGACCAAGUAUUCUCGAUCGUUAGCGUAGACCACUUUUACUUCCUUCUCGCGUAAGUUAGCCACUUAUUCAAUCAUAGGAUGUAGCCGCCUGAAACACUUCAUCCCUCCCUUACCCAAUAACAUGACUAGUUCUGGCACCAAGGUCUUAGAUUGCUGAGUCCCCGUGGCUCACGGAUUCCUCCGAAACUCCCAGCAGGUACAGGUACCCCAGAGGUAGAUGAUCCCGACGGCUCCCAGUUGGCGUGGCAGUACGACGAGGAGACAGAUCGCCUUUACGUGAACUAUCCAGAGGACUGAGUCGUGGUCGUGAUCGUGGGCCUACAGCGGGUAGCAUAGCAUUUCCCUUGUUUUGUAGUCCGUACCGGAACUACCUUGUUUGUAUCUGCGCUGUACUCUGUAUUAUUAAUAAGAAGACAGUUGAAUCCCAGAUUGUCCACUAUAUUUAUUAUUAUGUGCUAUGUUUACUUGCUUGCAAAACACUUAGAUGCNNNNNNNNNNNNNNNNNNNNNNNNNNNNNNNNNNNNNNNNNNNNNNNNNNNNNNNNNNNNNNNNNNNNNNNNNNNNNNNNNNNNNNNNNNNNNNNNNNNNAGCAUCACCGGAAUCCCGAUGCACAAGAUAUCUCUUCAAAGGUAAAACUAAUCCAGCAAGGCCGCCCGACGUGUCGACGAUCCCGAUAGGAGUCGCGUACCUCGUUCUCAGGACACGACGGAUGAGCGAUGGUUACCACGCCAAACGCCGAGUUGCCCCGGGUAGCGUUAAUAAGCUGCUCUGUUUUGGACCAACACUCAUGAGGAGCACUGGCCCGGGUGUUGAUUAAAAUAGUCCGCGGGUGCCGACGGGUCCCUAUGCAAUUUUAUUAGGUGAUUAGGCAAAUGUAGUACCAAUGUUGGGCCUUGCCAGACCAGCUUUAAUCUAAAACGAAUUAUCAAGGGGGUCCCCAUAACAACCCCGGUCGUGUUAGGAGCGCUCAAUUAUGGAACAUAACACCGGUAGCCGGAAACUAAGGGGGCAAAGGUGGAACAAAACACCAGGCUAGAAAAGGCCGAGCCUUCCACUUUUACCAAGUAUAUAGGUGCAUUAAAUUAAAUAGCAUUUAAUAUGGUGAUAUAACAAGGAACCCAUGCUUUCGCAUGGAAGCAUCUGCACCUGCAACUAGCAACGCUAUCAACAGGGUUAAGCAAGCAGUAACAUAGCCAAUCAGUGGUUUGCUAGGUCGAACAGGUUGAAGGGUAACAUGGCAUUGUUGAGAGGCUGGUAUUUAACAUGUGGUAGGCAACGAGACAUAAUCGACAGAAACGGUAAACUAGCAUGGCAAUGAUAGUAAUGGUAUCUGGGGAAAUGAUCAUCUUGCUUGAGAUCCCGCUUAGAAGAAGAAUGACUCCGUGAAGCACACAAACCGACGUAGUCGAACGGGUCCUCACAUCCGACACGCUUGCGGAACUCUAUAGAGACAGGGAAAACCGGAAACACAAAUCAUCACACGGAAUUCACCACACGAUGCACAACACAAAUGAUGCAUGAGCAGCUGAAUACAUGCAAGUCACGACAUGACAAUUCACACAAUCAAACACUACACAUUAAGUGAAGUUCAAUAUGCAACGAGUUGCAUAUUGACGAAACUCCACGUUUAAUUGUUUAGUUCACUCCCGAUUAGGUACACGGCAAUAUUAAUUGUGGUUAAACAUGGCAAGAGGUGAAGCGUAAUUAAACUACCUAUCUAGGCAUUUUAAAUGAGGUCGGAAAUGUCAUAUAGCACCUCCGAAACGACCUCACAUGUUAAUUUACAAUUCUAUCCAGAUCUGAACUAACACAUUUAAUUAGUUGUUAAACAGCAAAAAAAUAGGUUCACGUGAUUCUACGCGUCAUUUCAAGCAAUCUACACAUAAAGAACAUCUCCAACGGAGCUACGGUUCAAAAGAUACAAGCAUCGCAAGAUAUGUUGGCAUGAAUGCAAUAUGUGUGCAACGGCGGCUACGAGCACUUCAAAACAUCCAACCAGCAAGGGAAAAUGAAACUUCACGAGAUUCUAAGCAAGUUUCAUGUAGGACACGAUCAAAUCGGAGCUAUGGUUCAAAAACUACGAGCAAAACAGGAAAUGACUACAAUCUGCCAAAAUCAGCCACAUAGCACAUCCUACACCUCACAACUACGGCUACACAACUUCGAUAUGCUCAAGCAAGGCAUGGCACGGAAGAGGGCAAUAAGCACUACUACGAACAGCUAACAACAACUAGCAUGGCAGCAAGGAGCACUAGGAAAAGAAGACACAAAAUGGCAUCUCACACACUAUUUCAAACUUAGUGAAAAUUACACCUCAUGAAAGUGCAGUUUUCAGCCUGAAGCAAUAUUGACACCAGCAAAACCUAUAGCUACAGGACUCCAAAUGGCAUGAAAAUUUGCAGCAAGCUAGAGAAACACAAGGGGUACAACUAACUCCAUUGGACCAACCUCAANNNNNNNNNNNNNNNNNNNNNNNNNNNNNNNNNNNNNNNNNNNNNNNNNNNNNNNNNNNNNNNNNNNNNNNNNNNNNNNNNNNNNNNNNNNNNNNNNNNNCCUGGCCGCCGCCCCCUCUCCCAUCUGGGGCUGCCGCACCCCUUGGGGGUGGGAACCCUAAGGGUUGCGCCCCCUCCCCCUCCCCCUAUAUAUUGUUGAGGUUUCGGGGCUGUUUUGCACACGGUUUCCUUUCUCUCUCUCAGCGCAGCCCUGCCCUUUUUCCUCCUCCUCUCUGCCGGUGCUUGGCGAAGCCCUGUCGGGAGACCUCGUCUUUCCAUCAACACCACGCCGUCAUGCUGUUGGAGUUCUUCCCCAACCUCUCCCUCCUCCUUGCUGGAUCAAGGUGCGGGAGACGUCACCGGGCUGCACGUGUGUUGAACGCGGAGGUGCCGUAGUUCGGCACAAGAUCAGAAUCACACCGCGAUCGGAAUCGUUGUGAGUACGACUCCAUCAACCGCGUUAUAGCAACGCUUCCGCUUAGCGAUCUUCAAAGGUAUGAAGAUGCUCUUACCCCUCUGUCGUUGCUGGUCUCUUCAUAGAAAGAUCUGAAUAUGCGUAGGAAAAUUUUGAAUUUAUGUUACGUUUCCCGAGAGAUUAAUCGUUGAACAACUAAAUUAUGUAUGUUUUCGUCGCAACACACGAGCAAUUAGAUAGUUAGUGCAAAAAUGCCACUAUACAGUUGACCUCAAACAGGACGCUUCGACCCGACUCGCUGCGCUAGGAUUGUCUCGACCCACCGCCGCCACCCCGCCCAGCGCCGCCGCGGGCAGUUCCUCCGUCCCCUCCUCCCUCCAUGAGAAGCACCGGCUAGCCGCCUCCCGCUCCCCCGCNNNNNNNNNNNNNNNNNNNNNNNNNNNNNNNNNNNNNNNNNNNNNNNNNNNNNNNNNNNNNNNNNNNNNNNNNNNNNNNNNNNNNNNNNNNNNNNNNCUCCGCCUGCGCCUGCCCCCGCUCUGCUCCGCCGCCAGUCCCCGGCGCCGUCAGGUGGACACAGUUCCAGGUUGACGUUGAGCCGAGCGCGGCGUUCUUCUCAAUCCUGUACGUGUUACAGUUCAAUUCGUUGUCAAAACUGCAUCAUACCCCACACAUGGUCCGCAUGUAUGAUUUGUUAAUUUGGCUAUAUUGCCACAUAUCGUGAUGAACAUAGAUACAACCCAACCCUUUUGCGCAUACAGUGAGAGAUGAGAAGGCUGUCCUACUCUGUCUGUUUCCUGACUAGAGUCGUUCAGUAAGAAAUAUGUAUUUUUCUCUAGCAUGUUGUGCUGCUACCAGUUUUGUUAUGUGUACCUAAUUAUUCAAUUUCCGAGUGCCAUUUUGCUAUUAUGUUGUAGAGACGAGGACAUCGUAUCAUGUGACAUGCUUUUUCAGCGGACGGGGACGUCAUAACGCACACGCCAGAUAUACAUCAUUUACCAUGUCUAUGUACCCAUCAGGAUGCUUCUCCAUACCAUAUAGCCAGGUGUGUUUGAAUUAGUUCACUCUUCUCUCUUAUGUAAAUGCUUCUUUGUCUACUCUAUUCUGAGCCACAUAUAUGCCUAAGCUUUGUUAUGGUCAUUGCAACAUUGAUAAUUGCUAACUUCUUUAUGAUCCCUUGUUAACAUUGAUAAUUGUAUCUAAUUCUCUUAGAUAUUUAAUUAUUUCAUUUAUCGGCCAGCUUAUAUACUUCUGCAACAUUUCCUUGGUAGGAUAUACUAAUUCACCCUGCAGUUAGAGGAUUGAUAGUAGGAACUGCCACUAAACGUUUAAAUAGGAGAAUAUGAACUGCAGCCUGGGGUAAUUAUGAGACACAAAGUCUCCUAUUUUUGUGUGUUUAGUGUUUGCAUUUUGUUGUUUCUAUCACAUAAUUUGGAUCAUCCUUGAAAUUAAAACCCUCGAAGAUUUUGUGGGUGUCUUGUCAUUGUAUGGUACAUGUAUUUCUAUUAAGUAAUUUUGUGUAAUAAUGAAAACCAAUUGACAUUGUUUUGCAGUUUUAACACGGAUCCCAACAUGAAGCAGCUUCAAGGGAUCCUGAUUGACAUAGAAACAGACGCGGAGCAACUUCUUCUGGCAAGACAUCAGGUCUGUCGGUGCUACUGGCUUUUUCUAUUCAUGCUAGAAGUCUCAGUAUUGAUUUGUUUUGAUCUGUUCCGUGUAUGAUCAGCUAGUGGAGAACGAUAGGAUGAGGAAUGCUAAUAGGGAGGCCCUCACAGCCCUCAGGAAAAGAGCUAAGACAACUAAGACCAGUGUCCCAUAUCCAUUUGAGAUCGUAAUGAAAGAGAUGGAAGGAACUUCUACCAAACAGCUAGUAAAGGAGAUAUGCUCAACUUGUGGGAAUCACGACCCCAAAGAACAUACCUGGCUAAUGUUUCCAGGCUCGGAUAUUUUUGCUCGUGUUCCAUUUCACGUAGCGCACACUGUUCUAGAUAAAGGUAUUUACCUUCUUGGGUUUUUGAUCCAUGCAAUCUGAUUUAUUUCAAUUUACUAUCUAGUAGGUUUGAUAUAAGUUUGUACCAACGACUCUGCCAUCGAUUUCAAUAUUCAGGUGGUUCAUGCUUUCAAAUUUAUUCACAUGUGUUGUUAAUCUGCUAUGAGGUUUAAAUUAGUUAUUGUAUUUUGUUGUUUUACUUGUAUUCACCAAAAAUCAUGUUGGGCUCAAGUAUGUGGUCUUUCGAUACCGUUGACAUGUGAAGUGGUGCUUGGAGUCCCUGUCUGUUCUAAGGUUGCAUUUUAUCUGCAACCUCUUCUGAAUGCAAAAUGCCAACAUGGUAUGUUGCAAAAGCUUGUUUAGCCGAAUGCAUCUGUUUAUGUUCGCAAAUGAUGUCUCUGAUGCUCAUAAGUCUUGAUUAUCAUUGUUUUUGCUACAUAAUUUGGGGAAAUUUCAAGAAUAUCUUGUUGAAGGACCGUUAGCUCGUUGAGAUUGCGCUGAUGGUUGCGAUUUCCAAAUGAUGCAGAUCAAGAGCGUCUAGACUACAACACCAAGAAGCUGCAAAGCUUUGUCAAGGAGAAAUCGUUUGCGAUCUCCGAGAAAGGCGCCCUUGCGGACAAGAUCAGCCCAGGCAUCGUGAGAUCCUUCGUCAGCCUUGCAGACAAACCUAAGUAGUAGGCACACGCCGCAAGGGGCAGAUGAGUCAUGUCCGCCGGUCCUGGUCCUCGACAGCUCGAACAUCUCCUGAAAUGAAGCUUCUGCUGGGUUCAGCAAUUGUUUUAUUAACGGCCCCGCGCUUUACCUGCGUCUCGGUUUGGUUUUGCCAUGCUGUGAGAUUAGGGUGUUGCUAGGAACGAGAGAAGUGUAGUCGAUCGACAUUUAACCCUUGUUAUCUAUCAUCACCAGGUGUGCUGUGUUGGCAAACCUGAGUCCUGAACCUGAACCUAUUCUUGUAGCAUGUUAUCUUCAUUCAUAUGAAGUUGUAACAGUAUUACGACGGGAAAGAGCCAAGACAACUAAAACCUGAGUCCUUUUUCUCAUGGAUGACUUGUUUAUCUUUGGAGUACAAACAUGAUGAUCUAUUUUGCCUUAAGUGAGGGCCUUUAUCUCUCGUCCAUAAGUGAGGGCAUGUUUAAGUAGUAAGUACAGUAAAUCUGAAAUUCAAAUGAUGGUUUAUUUUGCGCAGGUGGACAUGAAGGACAAGGUGACAAAGAUGGGGAGGCACUAACAACAAUGUGGCUGGACAGGCGUAUGUAUCUAAGCAAUGUGGUUGCCAAAUAGCCAUUGUUGCAAAGGGCAUGAGACAUGUUGGCUUUUUACGUUGUUGCAACAGGCAAGGCAAAGGUGUGAUGGGAGAACCCGGCACAUCACUUUUCUCUUGAACAGGAACAUGUGUGCUAUAUCUCUGGUAGCCAAGCCAUGACCCGCUGCUCUCUGAAAGUAAGUGCUUCCUUUUUCUUUUUUACUUACAUAUAAGAUUAUAAAGGUUUGUCUGAAGGCAAACUUCGACCAAAUAUAUAUUACCUCUACAAUAUUAAAGCUAUAUAAUACGAAAGUUAAUUCCAUGAUGCAUCUAACAAUAUCUGUAUGGCAUUAUGGAUGCUGACGUUUUUUCCUAUAAACAUGGUCAAACUUUUAUGAAGAUUUUUUUUUUAAAUGAAAGCAAAAGAUUUGUCUCAUCGAUUAGUUAAGCCGAAGAGAGGAUGAAUGAAGUUUGACUUUGGACAAAUCUUGUAUGCGAAGUAAAAAAGAAACGGAGGGGGUAACUAAAACUGAUGAGGUUUGCGACGAAGAUGAUGAUUAUGAUGAUGAUGACUGGCUGGCUAUAGGUUGGGCCUCUGUGCCAUUCUUCAUCCGUGUGCAUCCAUCUGCUCUAGUCACUGGUGCAUAUUGUGAGUAGUAGUGGUAUCUUUUCUUUGUCCUUAAUGCCACUUGCCACAGAUGCCAAGUCUUCUUCAUUGUUCUUUUGGGGGGAAAGUCCAAAUACUAGGCAGACGUCUGCAUCCGGUGGGUGGACCGGCGUCGGUGCGGCGGAUCAGAUCCAACCCACCUCUCUGACUUAACACAAAUGCACACACCUUGAUUAAGUACUCAGAUGCAGGUUAGCAGUGCUUCCUUUUGCAGCAGAGCACUUGCUGCUUAAUUAAGGUUAAGCAUCCAUGAGAAAGGGUUGGCAAUGGCAUGCAUCACAUGACGACAGACAGAGAGCUGAGGACGCAUGUGAUCUAUGUAUACGUUGACGUCUCUGUUUGCUUGCUUGCUUGCUCCCGGUGGUUAGCUAGCUGUACCAAACCCCCAACGGUCCAGAUCGUCCGUGCAGUGCAUGCAGAGGGCGGCGUUAACGUACGUACGUGCACGCCGCGGAAACAAAAUACAAAAUCAAAAUGACAAUCGAUGGAUCUGGAUGCAAGCAAGCAAACAAACCUUGGGUUUUUCUUCUUCAUGACGGGCCACGUUCGCGCGAUGAAUGUGCCGUGCGGCCUUCUGCAUGCGGCUCGUCUGAUGAUGCUGCCGUUGCGCUCUAGGGCUUUACCUUGGCACUUUUUCUACGUGGAGUAGCAUAUAUUUUAUGGACUGAUCAUUGCCGGUUAUGGGUGGUGAUGAUGGAGGAAACAAAAGGGAAUGGGGUGUCCAUUUUAAAUGAGAAAAUCAUACAAGGAACAGAGGGCAGAACAACACGAUGAUUUCAUAUGAAUUUAGAGGAUUCCAAUCCACGAUUUCUUGCGGAAGCCCUUUGGAUCAUAGGACUCUGGGAUGAUCGAACUAGUACCAUGGAAUACAAUCCUUUGCCCCUCAUGCAAUAAGAAUCCUAUCAAAUUUCUUAAAGCAACUCCAACGCGUCCAUCCAUUUCGUCCACGCGCGUUCGUUUGGGUUACGGUGGACAAAAAGUCCGCCCAACGAGACGACCUAAAUGGACGCGCGUUCGUUUUUCGUUCGCUCGCGGCUCAUUCUGAGUGUAAAUUUGACCGUCGUUUGCCUCACCACGGACACGAAGCGGACACACGCCUCGCCCGCGUGCUCCUUCCCCUGACCCUCUAGUCGGCGUCACAGUCUCUCCUUCUUAUCCCCUUCCCCCACCCACCACCCGCAAGCACACAAAUCCUAGGCCGGCGACCCCAUUUCCCCCGGCCACCCUAGCUCUCUAGCAACAAAUCCAUCAGCGGGGUGCCUCCUUCGUCCCGGUGCGGAUUUGCAGCGGAGGCGGGUUUGGCGAAAUUUUGCGCAUCUUGCCGGAGGGAUUUGACGAAUCCGGUCGCCGGCAGACUGCGCUUGCCAUGGACUGGCCGGGUGUCGGCCCACCAGGUCCGGACAAUCCCUCGGUGCCACAUGCAGGCGCUCAAUCCGCCUCUAGCCGCUCAGGUCUGACCCGUCGCAGGUUUUGCCGGCAAGUCCACGGCUGGCCGUCGCCCUGGCUCGAAGAAUUGAUAAAAAUGUAUGUAUUAAAAUGCAUUUGAUGAAAUAAAAAUAACAUUCAAAUCCAAAACAAAGCAAAAAGGGUGAUUAAAAAAUGGAUGAUGGAGAGCCGAGCGGACGAAAAAUGGGUCGGUCCGUUGGACGACCGGCCCAUUUGCUAAAGAGGAUGGACAUGUCAAUUCGAACGGAUAAAAGACGGAUAAAAACAUGCGUCCGUUUGGGUCGCGCGGUUGAAAUUGCUCUUAGAAACACUAUUACUACUCUCCCUCUAAAAUUCCCGUGUUUUUAGGUGAGAUCGCGGAUCAAACCUCAAUACUCAAUCUGCGGAUAGAGAUUCAAAACAGACAACCGGUGAAUCGCAUUUGUGAGUAUUCAUAUUCAAUUAUCUCUUUUUUGGUUUUCUAAGUGUGGUUGAAUUAGGAGCUAAAACGUUUUAAUGUUGUACAUAUACGUUGAUGUGCGUCUACAAAUGUUCUGAAUACUAUGUAGUUUCGGAAAAAACGAUCUUCCCUAAAGCAAAGUCUUACCCAUACUAGUUGCCCUUGGUCAAAGAGCAAGGAUCAAUUUGGGAAGUGUUAGAAUAAAUGAGCUUGGUCCAUUAACAAAUACUCCCAGCGUGAGUGAUAAGUUUAGAACCACAUUCACACGUAAUGAUCCAAGCAUGACAUUCAGAAGGAACAAAAAAGAAACGAAAGAUCAACUAAGAUACUCUUAAAUUGUCGGUUCACUCGUGUACUUAGCUAGCGCUACAAGGCUGGACAUCUAUUUUGCUGUGACCGAAUUGAGUAGGUCCAUGUCCAACCCGAAUGAUGAUCAUUGGCAUGCACUUGAAAGGAUCUUGCGUUAUCUGAGAGGUACUAUGAGUUAUGAAAUUCACCAUUCAAUGCAUCCUACUGUGCUAGAAGGAUACAGUGAUUAGAACUGGAUCUUCGAUUUGAUCUACACUCCGCGCCGCAAGUGGAUACGUAUUUACUCACGGAGGUGAUCCACUGUCAUGGAGGUAUUGCAAGCAGACCAUAUUGGCCGGGCCGGGGCGGAAAGGCGCAUAAGUGCAACAUGCGCGUGAAUGGCCCGUCGAAAUUUGGCCCGUUGCCUUGCGGGGGGCGUGACUUCCUUCUGUCAUUUUAAUUUCUAUGUCUUCACGGGCAAGUUAAUUAUUGCUUGUCCGGCAAGUAUAUGACUUCAAAACCAAGUUAGUUUGAGAUCGUGAUCGCCACAUGAUCACGACACAAUACCGACUUCGGUCUUAAUACAUAUACUGCUAUCGGUUACGGGCAAAGACACACCGAAAACAUCUAUGAUUUCGCCUCAUCUCGCAACUUGCACCAUCACCAUAAUCUACCUCAUCUCAAACGUCGGUGUGCAUCGGUAUGCGGGAGAGCAGGUCUUUGAAACCGUUUGUCCUUGCGAUCCUACACCGAAAGAGGACGAAUUAGGUUUUUGACAAGCGCUCUGCACGACUGCUCAAAUUCGCCAUCAUGGGUAGCAUAUUGUCCAAGUCGGGCGGUGCUACCCAUCGCCGUAUCCAUCGUUGUCAACAACAGAUCGUCGCCAACAUCAUCAUCAACACAUGUCGCUCCUGCAACAGCUGGCGAACAAUAUGUUCUUCGUGAUAUGUUAAUGUCUCUCUUUGUAGUUGCUACUUUGUGUGUGCUGAUGAUGUGCAUGUUCUGUUAUAAACAACUUUUAAUAAUAAUGUGUAAUCAACAACAUUUCAUGACAACAGCACAUUCUUGUAAACAACAACACAUUCUGUACUUGGGCUAGUUGUGAGAAUUAUGUACAUAUAAUAUGUUUAAUAUUCCCUCUGUAUCACAAUACUUGUUGUUGUAGGAAACUAGUUUAGUUCUCUUGAACAACAAAUAUUUAAAAACGGAGGGAGUACAUGGAUAAAUAAUGUUUAAGGUCUAUUUUCCAUAUUAUAUGAGUAUACAUGGAUACAUGAGUUUGGGUUAUACUAAAAGAUACCCUUACCUCCGAUGGAGUUUAAAUUUUUCCCAUUUAUAUAUCCAUUAUUAUUAUUUUACUCACAUCCUUAUCCUAAUAGGUUUUUUAUCCGACGGAUGUGCAAUAUUUAAGCUACUUCUAGAUGCACUUUAGCAAACCGGGUGCCGAGAAAAGACAAAGCGCGAGGGCUUGACUGAUAAAAGCGCAGUCCCCUCCCCCCCUACCUCUUCCCUACAGGCCAGGGUCACAGGUUCAACAGAGAGAGGCAGAGUUUCCUUCUCCCCCGUGCUCACUCACUGCUCCGCUCACCUCCCCUGUCUUGUCCAAAAGAUCCCUGGCCCAUCCCCCCGCCCGCCGAGAUGGGGGGACUCCGCCGCGGCGGAGCCACGGACGGUCUCCUCUCCCACUCCCACCGCCGCCGCCGCCACCCCGGCCCCAAUGCUCCGCCCCAUCUCGCCGCCGGUACGCCUCCUCCCUGCACUCUUCCUGCUCAUUUCCGUCUCCGAAUCCUAGCCCCCCUUGAGAAGUUCCCCCCUCUUGGAUUCGCUCGUGGGCGCUUCAAUGCCGAGUCCGUCUCUUGUGGUUGUGGAGAUUUCAUUUUCUUUUCUUUUCCUUAUCUGCUUUUGGAGCGGCAGCUCGGGGUUCAUGUGAGGACCGGCCGUCGGCAUUAAGCUCCCGGCCGAAAAAGUUGUGCUUUUCCUCUUCCCGUUUUGCUUCUCGGCCCUAAAAAGCAAUGCGUUUCUCAUGGGGGGAGCUCCGGCUGGCUCCAGGGCCUUCAUCCAUCCAUCCGGGAGGAGACAAGGGAAAGAAAGAAAGUAAAAAUCCAUGCCUGCCUUGUCUUUCCGGAGACACUGUCGAAUGAAUCACGGCAUUUCGUAGUCAAAUCGGUCUGCCCGCGGCAUUUUCGCCCAAAUUCACGGCGAUGUGCUUUGGAUCCUUUCCUGGUCGCCGAUUAGUAAAUUAUUCCCAGCCCCGCUAGAUCACGCGAAACAAGCCGUGUUUUCAGGAACAUGGCGCCACUCUCAAGGUCAGAAACCGUGCGGGGAAAUGUAUACUAUCCUAGUGAUGCGCCCACAUGCUCACGAAGCACUAUGAAGCUUCGUUGACAAUGGGGAUUCCGUAUUCUAAUCGGCAAUAAAUAAACCAACAUGUCGGCUUAAACAAACCUUGGGUUGGGUUGUUUAGCCUCUGACAGGUACAUUUUACUGUACUCGCUAGCUGGGCUGAACAGUGUUGUUGGGAGUAGUAAAUCUGUACUAAAAGUAAGCUUUGCCUGGCCAUUGUGUCGGAUCCAAGUUAACACUUAACAGUACUGCUCGUAUGUACCUACGCACUAUCCGUUGGAUGGUUGGUCGUACAUAGCUUAGCUUGCUCUAUGUAUAUCUUGCGUCGUCGUUGCUGAUUCCGGAUCUAUCGCUGUCGUCCACCCACCCACCAUUCAUCAGCUCUAAGGUUUACUGGCACAGAGUGCUUGCAGAGAUAUCUGCAAUUGUUACCACAAUCCUAGCGUAGCAACUAAACAUAUCGGUAAUAAAAUGUCCGCUCUCCCUUUCCUUCAGUGUUACUAUCUUUGAUCGCGACGUGCCUCGUUACUUUUUCCACCCUGAACUGUCCCUGUGGAGUUUAUUCAUCGGUGCCUUUAUCUUUGGUUCAGGAGUUGGAUCCUCGAGGAAACAAGGAGGUGAACCUGGGAUGCAUUCCAAUUCCUUGGUGAGUGUGUGCUUUUUAAUCUUUAAACCUUUUUGCCGUGUGUAGGUAAAAUGAAAUUCCUAAGCUAAGCCUAUGAAAACUACUCACUCCGUCCCAAAAUAAGUGUCUCAACUUUAUACUAGUUCUAGUAUAAAACUUAUUUUGGGACGGAAGAAGUAUAUAGCAAGUUAGCAGUUGACUCAGCUGAGAUGACCUCUUGCACAGCUUAAAGUAAAAGCGGGAUUAGUUAGUACUUUGUUCUGUAGUAAUUAGUUUGAGCAUGUAAAAAGGGUUAAACAUGUCAAAUGCUCUAUUGUUUUCAAGCUUUUGUCUACAUGACAGUUUAUUAGAGAACCAAUUUCUUGUAAUGUGCAGAUUUUAGCUAAGUGCUUCAUGGUUCAGUUCUCUCUUCUCUUUUGCUACUAAAGCUAUAUCUUCAUUUCUUACUAUGCAGUUCAGUGUGUGAUAUCAUUUCAAGAGCAAGCUAACAAUUUCAGAUGUAACUUUUCUCUUUCCUCAGUUUGAUGGGAGCAGGCUUUGUACACCCAAAAGAGCCGGUCGCACCCCGAUGAAAAUGCUCAUAGACGAUGAUGUCUACAGAGAUGCCACUGCUAGGCAUACGUCUCCUGGUAUUGUGGGCAGGCUCAUGGGCCUUGACAUAAUGCCUUCACUUGGAGCGCGCAUCCAAGAUACAUGUAACGGGGACCGUUCACAGGGCAGGUCGCCACGGAGUUGCAGUGAGAUAUCCGGGAAUUAUAGUGACAGACACGCCUUCUCGGGGGAUGUUCCACGUAGGGCAAGCACUGAUGAGAUUCCGGAAUUCAAAGAUGUUUUCGAAGUAAUGGAGACCACCAGAAUGAAGAACCGAAACCGCAACACUUGUUCUGGGCAUGAGAGGGUUAACAGUGCUGACCUUAAUUUUGUAAGGCAGAAAUUUAUGGAUGCAAAACGCCUUUCUACUGAUGAGUCUUCUCAGAGAUCGAAAGAGUUCAAUAGUGCGGUUGUCGCGAGUGAUCUGCCCAGUCUCGGUUGUCCUCCAUCCUCUGGCGUAAACCGGAUCACGCUAUUGAAACCAUCCAGAAGAAGUAAGUUUGUUGAUGCAGAUUUUGUCUAUCCACCAGAAGAUGACACUGAACGGUGCUUCCACUCACCAAAAGAAGCAAAACAUUCUCCAAGGAAGCCUCGUGCUAACUUUUCUAGUGAAGCUCCCAAAGAAGAAACCGGUUCUUUCAGACAAAAGUUGUCCAGGUCAACCUACAGGGAGAACAUCGAUAAGCGCAUUUCACCCACUAGGAUUGUUGUCUUGAAACCAUGGCUUGAUAAAAAUCUGAACAUGGAAGGGGCAUUUCCAAUAACCAAUGACAUGUUCUGCUCCAGUUACAGAAGGUCCGAAGCAUGCGUAGAUGAUGGUACAAGGCAGUAUGCAGAGGAAUCCGUGCCUCAGACCUCUGCAGCAUAUUCCGAUGCACGGCGCCAAAGAGGUAAGGGGUCCAGAGAAAUUGCUCGAGAGGUUUCGACACAAAUGAAGACAGCUGCUGUCAGGGGAGAUGCAAAUGGAAAACAGAAACUCAGUCUAGAUAUUGGGACAUCCAACCGGGAUGAACAGGUGUCUUUGUUGACAUCCAUGACCAAGCUAAAAAGUUCGGCAGCAGUAGAAAGAUCUUCCGGUCUACAUGAUGCUCCAGAUGGUCCUUGCGCAGGGACUUCACCGACACAUUCAGCUAAAAGAUCAAUUAGGAGGGAAGCAAGGAGACGCCUAGCUGACAGAUGGAAGACGACCCAGAAACAUCAACAUCAACAUCCAUCAGAAGAUGCUAAUACUACAUUCAGCACACUUGGGGACAUGCUUGCUCUCUCUGACAAAGAGACCUCAAAGUUUACUUCAGGGGCAGCAGCUUGCCGGCAAUGGCCAGAAGGCGAGUUGCAUCGAGAUGUGAUGCCAGGAUCAUGUGGUUAUCCUCUUGGUAUCAGUAGCAAUGAUGGCUGGAAAGAUGAUAACAUAUGUGGCUUAACAAGGUUGGAGUCUGUUUCUACUUCAUCCAUCAACCAAGGGAGUCCGAAAUCGAGCAGCAGAAAAGCAGGUUGCAUGCAUGGUGAGUAUUCUAUGGCAGAGAACAUCAUCGGAUCAGGGCCAUAUAAUUCUGAAGAUCUGCAUCAGGACAGACCAAGGAGAUCGUUAGUCAGAAGUUCGACAUAUCGCUGUGAUGAAAGCGAUGUGCAAUCUCCCCUAAUAAUAAAGCGUGCAGCGCUUCUGUCGUCCGCAUCUCUGGAUGAAGCGCAAAGUGUGGUGACCGAGCGCGAGAUACAUGUGAAUUUUGAAGAACCAACUUACAGCGGUGCAGUGCCAGAGCUAUCUGAAACUGGAGGAAGACUUGUGCAUGGUGGAAAUUCUGACCAUAGUUUAUGUGGUGAACUACAUGCACCGAAGUGGUCGGACUCUUCCCCGGACCCUGCGCAAGCGGGAGCUACAUGCACCGGGCUAACCUUUAGUUUAUGUGGUGAACACGGUUUAUAUAGCAGUCAUGCAGUUCCAGAGUGGCAGGGGGAGGCUCAGUCUUCUGCACAGAACAUGAUUCUGGACCAAGAGCAGACAUUUGCAAUAGAUGACCAUUUUAUUGUCCCUAGCCCACGAUAUUCUGCAUCUCAGGUAUGUUCAUUUUAUGCUACUCAAGUUUCUUCAAAGUAUGGCUAAGCAUUCAUUUCAUAUACUGUAUGAAUUUAUUAUUUCUAACCCCUCUGCUCGACAGAUCGAAGGUUUUUGGUUGGUCUAUGAAUUACUUAUCUGUAGUUUACUAUUCUUUAUCAUUUGUAACAAUGAUCGACGAACUGACUGUUCUCUGUACUCAGAUUGAGAGGAAUGAGCACGAUCGGUGUGAAGAUAAUCAAGCUCCAUCCGAUCAUCUGACAGAAAUAGUAUCCGUCGUGAGCUCCAACGAAGACGAACAACCGAGUCCGGUGUCUGUCCUCGGAUCUUCGGUGGACGCAGAAGACUGUUGCUCAGGAGGUUUUGAGAAAAUAAGUGCAGACCUUCAAGGCAAGUGCACAAACCGUACACUGCCAAAUCCAUUUCCCUGGCACUGUCCAUAUCACUCACUUGCUUACUUUCUCUGCUACAGGGCUCAGGAUGCAACUCCGCCUGCUCAAGAUGGAGGCGACGGACGACGCGGACGACACCGACCUCGCUCUAUUCAGCGACGAUGAAACUGCCGCGAGCUGCGAACUAUCCAACGAAAGCGCACCGACAGCGUCCCGUGCUUUCAAGGACGAAGACGAGAGGGACUUCUCUUAUGUGGCUGAUGUGCUCGCAUUUCUAGCCAACCAGAGUUCUGAGUACGAUCUUCUGCUCAGCGUGCGCUAUCUAUCGUCGGGGUCUCGGGCGUGCGACGACGCGUACGAUGACCUCGAGAGGAAGUACGGUGAGCUCGUCCUGUGGCCGCAACCGGAGAGACGGCUCCUCUUCGACCUGGCGAACGACGUCCUCGUGGAUGUGAUCGCCUGUUUGACACAGUGUAGCAGUCAGGAGUUGGCGAGGAAGUGUGGGCUGGGCAUGGAAUGGGACAGGGAGAGGAUUGUGGAGGAGGUGUGGGAGAGGGUGUGCCGGCAACGGCGCGAGACGGAGUGCUUCCAGGAGGAGAAGCUGAUGGGUGUGGGGUGGCUGGACUGCGAGGAUGUCACCGAUGAGAUGGUGGAAGACAUUGGGAGCAUGCUGGGUGAGGAUCUCCUGGAGGAAGUCAUAGGUGACCUCUAUCUGCUGGAUCUUUUUGGGUAGGGUGGAGGGUUUUUUUCUGCGAUUUUCGCGCACCGGGAAAUAUCAAGAUUUGUGAAAGUAAUGCUCGUGCUUGGUUUAAGAAUGAAAAUUGUUAGUGAGAAGCAAAACUCUGUAGCUUGUUUAUGCCAGCCCAGGUAGACAGGUGGCUGAUGCGAAUGUAAUAUUCCAGUUCCAUGUAUCUAUAUUAUUCUAUAUAUAGGGACGAUAAUCGACGGUAAAGAAUGUAAUUAUUUAUUUAUAUAUAUGGCAGCAGCAGCCAUUUUUUUCCUUCUUCUGCGUGUUGUGCAUUUUCCAGUAUGGAUUCAGUAAUCAGCUGGUGAUCUGUUGGUGUCAUAAGGAAGGUUUUUGUUUGUUUCGCGUUGGUGAACCGUUGCCCUCACCAGUUUUCUCAUUCAUACUAGUAUAUGUACUUAUGUAGAGCGGAGCGACCAGUGGUACAUCAAGUGACCGCAUAGCGCAGUGGAUUAGCGCGUCUGACUUCGGAUCAGAAGGUCGUGGGUUCGACUCCCACUGUGGUCGCAUAUCUUUUUAAAUUUUUCCAUUCCUAUACUGAUUUCCUUUUGCUCUCUUUAAUCUCUUGAUACUAAUUUGCAUUAUAACCACCAUCUGCUUCCCCAUAUCGACUGCAGUUUACUGCGAAUUUACUUUCAUGUUAAUUUGCGUUAAAGAUCACAGUUNNNNNNNNNNNNNNNNNNNNNNNNNNNNNNNNNNNNNNNNNNNNNNNNNNNNNNNNNNNNNNNNNNNNNNNNNNNNNNNNNNNNNNNNNNNNNNNNNNNNAUUCGUUUUAGAUUAAAGCUGGUCUGGCAAGGCCCAACAUUGGUACUAUUUGCCCAACAUAAUAACUUGAUAAUAUUGAAAUGCAUAGGGAGUUAGCGCUACCCGAGGAGUAAUUUUACAUAAACAGGGGGGGCCAGUGCUGAUGGUGUUGGUCCCAAACGGUCUGCCUGCGGGGCCACCAUGGGGAAACUCGAGGUUUGGCACUCGUAGCUAGUUCCAUCCGUCGUGUCCUGAGAACGAGAUACGCGGCUCCUAUCGGGUACGUCGACACGUCGGGCGGCCUUGCUAGAUUAGUUUUACCUUUGACGAGAUAUCUUGUGCAUCGGGAUUCCGGUGAUGCUUUGGGUAAUCUCAGAGUUGAGGUUUUCCACUAGGGAAUCCGACGAGAUCGCGAGCUUCGUGAUUGAGGAUUUCUAUGCGGCUUGUGGUAAUUUGUGAUGGACUAGCUGGAGCACCCCUGCAGGGUUAAAUCUUUCGGAAAGCCGUGCCCGCAGUUAUGUGGCAACGUGGAAGCUUUGUUUAACACUGGUUCUAGACAACUUGAAGUAACUUAAUUAAAACUUGCCAACUGUGUGCGUAACCGUGACUGUCUCUUUCGUGAGUUCCUUCUCCGAUCGAGGACACGGUGGGGUUAUGUCUGACGUAGGUAGGUGUCCAGGAUCAUUCUUUUGAUCAUCAGUAUUUCACGUCCGUUAUGCGUAGAUCUUCCCCCCUCUUAUUUCUUGUACUCGUAAGUUUUAGCCACCUCAUAUAUGCUUAGCCGCUGCUGCAACCUCACCACUUAACCACACCUCACCCAUUAAGCUUUGCUAGUCUUGAUACCUUUGGAAAUGAGAUUGUUGAGUCCCCUGUGGCUCACAGAUUACUACAACAUCAGUUGCAAGUACAGGUAAAGGUUACUCGACGCGAGCGCGUUGUUUGUUCAUUUGGAGUUGCUUCUUCUUCUACUUUGUCUUGUUCGAUCUAGGAUGGGUUCUAGGCCGGCAGCCUGGGAUAGCAAGGAUGGACGUCGUUCUUCUUUUCUCGUUUGUUUUCGUCCGUAGUCGGACCCUGCUCUUACUCUUGAUGAUUAUGUAAUGUACUGAUGUNNNNNNNNNNCGUGGCGAGUGUAAGCCAACCCUGAUUAUAUAUCUCAUCUUUUCAGUACAUGUACUUGUAACGAUAUCCAUUCUUGCGACAUGACGAGAUGCGCUUCUAUCCCUGACGAGGCCUUCGUGCCAAAUUGAGGAUAGGGUCGCAUCUUGGGCGUGACACAAAGGGCCUAUAGGUGGCAUAGUGACCAACUGGACUACAAUUUAAUGUUGUACACAUGAAAGAAAAUCCACUGCUUGACCUUAUUUUGUUAGAAAUUUAUACAUACCGAACCAAUAUCGAACUGAACGAACUGACGGUUCGACCGAUAAAAACCUGAACCGCUAGGCUCACCGGUUCGAUUGUCGGUUCAGUUUUUAAAACUAUGGCCCGCCCCUGACGAACAACCCGUCGCUGAUAUGUUUUUCUUUUCUUGCUCCCUCGCCAUAUAUUCUUGUCAAGCUCCGCCACUGCUAACAUGGAUGAUAAGGGUGAGUGUGAUCACAAUUGAGAAGGGUGAGACUGCGGUGGGGUCACAUCCGACGAAGUGGGCGACAAGGUGAAUGUGAUAGGCUGGCAGCGACGGGGAUGAGAGGACAGAAAUAGGGAGUUGGGUAUGCAGGGGAAGGAGAGCAAUGAAAGUUUAUAUAUCUAUGAGGCUCUGUUCGGUUGAGAGGGUUUGGAAGGGGUUUUGACAGGGAUUGAGGUGGAUUUAAUCCCGUGUAAGUCAAAACCCCUCCAAAUCCCCUCCAAUUCCCUGAUGGCUGUAACCGAACAAGGCCUAAAUGGGUGCGCUCAGACCAAAACACAAGGAUGGAUAACUUGCGCGCGGGGGAUAUAUGUGUGUAACGUGACAUCUAUUAUUAAUUGACGCUUUUCCCUGAUGAAAAGGCGGAGGGAUGCAAGCACAUUUGUACCACAACGCCAUUGACCAGGCUACGCGUAGGGGGGGGGGCACACAAAAACUUCCCUUCCCGUGCUAACGAUUGCAGAUGAAGGCCGCUACAUGUUAGUGCCACAACCUUAAAAUACAAAGGCUCAUGAGCAUGAUUUGAAUGUCUUCUGCACAUUAUGCAGGUCAAGGGGUGUAUAACGAUUCUCUUAGAGUGUCCUUCCAGACCAUGAUUGCCAUAUAAUCAGUUAUUAUGGCGAAGUCGUCAAUAUGACGCACAAAUUGCCUAAGUGCCACCAAUGCUACAUGUCACCCUCUACGAGGACUAGCGAGCCAUCGCCUACACGCGCUCGCUAGCGGGUCGGCCCGACCGUUUCAUGCGAGAGAUUUUAGGAAGGAUUGUGAAACUUCUAAGCCGUUAUUUUUGUUUGUUUUCCUAAUUAUUUCAGAUAUGUUACGGUUUCUUUUUUAAUUGUUUUACUUUUCAAGUUCACACACUCUUUUAGAUAAACAAGUUCACAUACUUUUUGAAUUCAUGAACAAUUCUGGAACUCGUAGAUAUUUUUUCAAUUUGUGAUAUUUUUUAAGUUUAUGCUUUUAUUUAAAUUCAUGAAAUUAUUUCAAAACAUUACGCAUUUUUUUUACUUUACAAUCAUUAUUCUAAAUCCAUGAACUUAUCUGAAUUUUGUGAACAUAUUUCGAAACACACUGACCAUCUUUGAAUUUCCGCAAUCAUUUUUUUCUGAAUGGACGGCCAUUUUUUGAAUCCUCUAGCAUUUUUACGAAUUCACGAAUAUUUGUUCAAUCAACUUUUGUAAAAAUUCAUUAGUGAUUUUGGGAGGGAGCAUAUUUUUAUUCACAACAUAUUAUUAUUAUUUUUUCUUCAAAUUAAUCCAAAAUUAAAGAUAAGAACUGGAAAAGAACAGAAAAAUAGACAUGUGCUAUCGCUGUCUCUAUUUGCGCCCGCCGGGUCAGUCCCAUGUUGCUCGGGCGACGCGAGCGGUAGCACCACCGCCACAAAUCCUCCUAAUUCCUAUUCGGCACCCUUUGCGCUAGUUAACGUGUAUUUCGUUAAGUGGUGCCUGAAGGGGUUAUGUAUGGGCAGGCCCAUCUAAGGUUAUCAGCGGGAGAGAGAUCUGUUUCCGUUUUUUGUUUUCGUUUAGGGUUUUCUGGACCUGUUUUGUUCGUUUUAUUUUACCUUUUUAUUUUUAUUUUUAAUUUUAAAAAUGCGUUAUUUUUUAAAAAUUAUAAAUUUUCUCCAAAUUCAUGAAGUGUUUUGAAAAUCUGCGGAUGUUAUGGUGGCACACUUCAUUUCGUUGAGAUAGCAUUUUCCCCCCAAGUUCUCAUGUUUGGUGAGGAAAAAGAAUACUAUGCGUCAGUUAUGGCCAUAUAUAAGCAGUUCAUGGCAUUUUUUCUUCUUCUUCUUCUUCAUUUUGCCUAGCAGAGAAGGUGUAUGCUGUUGGAGCAGCAAACUGAAGUUAUGAGCAUGCAAACUGUGCUUUGGUGAUGUGGCACUUGAUACGAAAUUCUCUUCUCCUAAUUAUUACUCCCUCCGUCCCAAAAUAACUGUCUCAAGCUUAGUACAAUUUUGUAUUAGAGCUAGUACAAAGUUGAGACACUUAUUUUGGGACGGAGGGAGUACUUAGGUUCAGAUGAUACCAUAGUGUUUACCCAUUUGUUUACGGGUCCAAAAUUGUCUUUGCGAAAGAGCCAGGCCAAUCUAGCGCUAGGUGUUUGUUGACACAUUUCACAAGGAUUCAGGCUAUUUAUUUUUGAAGCUUUGUACGUACCAUUCUAUCAUAAGGACUUUUUUGCUUUAAGGCCAGGAGUUAAGGACUCUGAAAACAUACAAAACAGCAAAACAAAAAACAUGAUCAAUAGCUCACAGGAAGAACCCACUGCAUUCUGCACUCUGCAUUUCUAAAGGGAAUGAAGGACCAUCAGCUCAUUGCAAAAACUACUGCAUUUUCCAGUUACGUGAAAUGCAUGGUCCAAAAUAAAAUAAAAUUGCAGGACGAUCAACUCAUUGCAAGGACCCUACAGCGAAACGCUUUGUCGACCAAGCCGUGGCAAUCACAUCACACGAUGAAUGUCAGAAGAGCUACUACAUUCCAGAAUCACUAGAAAAUUGUUCAGCCAUUGGUCGCGACGCUUUCAGUAGAUCUAGAGCCGCUGAGUUUUCUGAAUCUGUAUCUAUCUAGCUAGAUAGGCAAAAGUUGACGCCAUCAUAUCCGAGGCAGCAAAACUUGUGAACAGGUGAAGUGUCGGACUCCCGCUCUGAUCUUCCUCUACUGUGCAUCGACAUCUGGGUAUUGCAGCGCAUUGUAGCCUGAAUUAGCAGAAAUUAUGGGCGAGUUAGGCGGCAGACCAAUAAUCAAU
RNAcentral lists this long non-coding RNA (52792 nucleotides) under Hordeum vulgare. Its description in RNAcentral is "long non-coding RNA (HVUL_LNC002732)". The stretch from base 48119 to 48192 matches the Rfam family "tRNA". Lineage: Eukaryota; Viridiplantae; Streptophyta; Magnoliopsida; Poales; Poaceae. The record is from RNAcentral.